UACAACAGAUCAAACAUUGAGCUGGCCUUGCAUUACCAAUGGCACAUACACCAAGGCAGUUAUAUAGCUAAAACAGUUUAUUCAUAAGCUUUAGAGAUAUUGUACAGUACAUAAUAUUAAAGCAUCGGCAGACAUAAUGUAUAUAAACACGCUCACUCGAGUACCACACGACAAGAGUUUCACAUGGUUCAUCAAGUAGGAAAGGAGCAAUUAGUAAAUAUAACAACAUAGUAUCGGAAUAGAUCCAUUGUCACCGAACGAAUUUAUUCUUAAGACCGGACCACAAAUCAACAAACUUCUCAGAACAUCACCAUUACACCUGAUCUUCAUUCCUCAUCCGUGCGCACAGCUGCAACAUGAACAACCAAGUCAGUGUUCAAGAGAACAAUACAGCAUGAAGUAAAACCAAAGCAAGAAAGAGCCUCAUCUGAAUGCCCACCAGGAAGAAAGACAUUAAAUAUGCAAGUGCACAAAUCAUCACAGAAGCUGGGUAAGCAAAUUAUUCAGAACAGCGUAGAUGUUGGAUUCAACACUUCAUGCAAAUCACGCAAGAGAACAACCAUCACAGUCACUUAAGCAUUCCAAAACCCAACUACAUGUACUUCUGCAGUUCCUGACAGCGCCCCCGAGUUGCAAUUACAAUAUCGAUACUUAUAUGAAGCACAAAAUCAAUAUCGCUACAGAUCCCUACGAACCUAAUUCCGUUUCAAAGAAAAACUACAAACCUAAUUGCACCUAUCCAGCUGUUUUACUCAGUGUUCACAUGCAAUCAUGCAUGCGGCUGAAUAAACUCCCUCUGCUUUGGUACCAGCUCUGAGCAUACAAAUAGGGUAUGACAAAUCUUAAGAGGCAUUUUCAGAACUAUGUGGCAUGAAUGACGCUAAAAGUGAUAAACUACAUGUGCUAAUUAUUACCACACCAGCCCCAUCUAUUAGUAAACACACAUGCCUUUGCCUCGUGAGGUUUCUGUCAUUGGCAUGAGUUCGUGAAUGCUAAUGCGCACACAGCAGACACAUGGUGCCACGAAUUAAGCUCAUGGUAUUUUCCUUGCAUCAGGGGAAAAAAAUCGGUCACAAAAGCUUGCAGGGAUUAAUCAAUAACCAUGACUGCGUAGAAGUUCAGGAGGGAUUCCAACAGUUAAUCUUCAAAUACAGUCACCACUAUUGAGUUUCUCCUGGUUUUAAUGGAAUAAAUAUAUUUUUACCUGGUAACAUUAUGCAUAAAACAGAGACGAUAAGCACCAUCAUGCCCACCCAAUCCAGCCUAUGAAAGGUAACAUUCAGGAUAGUACCCUCACUAUUUAUUACCACUUCAUGCGUUCAUGGUUAUUCGUCUCUAUUUUCCAGGAGACAAGUAACACUAUGUUAGUGCUAAAACUGUUAAACAUAAUCUUACGAUUCUAGCAGCUCCAGGCUAUAGGAAGAAUUAAAAUUCCCAAUACACCGUCGUCCUUAGCAGAUGGCAAAAUAAUCUUGUACAGUAUGUAUGUUACACUGACAGCUAACUUUAAGAACAUCCCCUCCUCACACGCAUUUCUACCAACAGAAGAAAAAAAAAGCGACGCACACCAGAUCCGUGCCAUUUAACAGAUCGUAUUCAAUCCAGCAGAUCAACCUAGACAGGUAAACCGGUAGGGUAGACCUAGAAACAAGAUCCACAUCCAACAACACAAAGCCAGAUCCACGAACCCUAGAUUCAUUCCGUGACCAGGCAAAUCAAACCGGGUCAAGGACGCGAGACAAGGGCUUGAUCGGAUCGGGGAACUUACUGGGCUUCUGCUGCUUCUCGUCGGUCCACUUGGAGAGGGAGAAGUGGACCUUCUCGCGGGAGGAGAGCUCGGUCUUGAAGGGCUCCUUGAGGCAGCUCCGCACCAGCGCCGCGCAGACGUUGGAGUAGCCGAUGUAGGUCAUCCCCGCCGCACGCCAGAAGGGCACCGCCGCCGUCACCGCCGACAUCGUCGUCGCCUCCGCCUCCUCUGCUUCUUUUUUCUUCUCUUCUCUAGGGUAGAAUAGAAUGCUCUUCCUUCCCUCUCUGCUCGAGACGCCGCCGCCGCAGAUAGGGAUGGGGAAAUGGGCUUUGAGGCCCUUUUAUCUUCUCGCUGGGCCUCUUUGCUUCUGCCCAAACGGUCGGGACUCGGGAGCGAAGCCCACCCCGCAGACGGGAAACCUCCCGGUUCGAUUAGUCCCACAUCGCUCGCGGAGCACGGCGGGGCAGGGUCGGACGAGUAUAAAUGGAGGGGCGGGGGCACGGUUGUAAGUCAUACCUUUCUCGGCCUUUUGGCUAAGAUCAAGUGUAGUAUCUGUUCUUAUCAGUUUAAUAUCUGAUAUGUGGGCCAUGCGCCCACAACGAUAUUAAAUUUAUUUUUUAUGGGGGAGGAUCCACCACAGUGGCUUGCUGCUGGGCUCCUCACGCGUUCCCUGGACGUUGCACUGCUGUCCAGGUGUGGCGCACCCCAACCAAAUCUAAAUUAACUAUUUUGAUCGGGUUAAGUUGAGGUGGCUGAAGUAUUAAGGUUUUGAACACUGUUCUACCGGUUGAAUGCCCAUUGCAGCACUCAAGCUAAUGUUGUAUUUAAAAAAUAGGCGAAGCUUUCUUGAAAAAGUAUGGAUUAUUGUUUUGUUUUGUGAACAUAGUACAAGUAAGGAAUAGAUGCAUUAUCGUAUUUAUAUUUCUGAAUAAGUGUCAUUUAUUGCCUCUGACUGUUUCAUGAAAAAAUUGGACGGGACUGAAAUAUUCUGCUGGGCACUGGACAGCUUAGCCAUUUGUGGGUGUGUGAUUUGUCUCACGAUUUUAUAGACCUCUUUCGAAUAUCUUUCUGCCCAUGCAGGCAUUGCCGCAAAUCAUUAUCUUUGAUUUAUAAAAAAUUUAGCAACGGAUAUUCAGGAUUUCAACAAUAAGUAGUUUCUUUUUUCCAUUCGUUACUUAACCCCCUUCACGCACACUAUCGUGUAAGUGCGUUGUAUGCGACGACUCUCUCUACAUGUACGACGAUGAUCGUUCGAGUCAAUAAAUACCAAAUUUUAGUUUAGGCAAUGUACUUUUUUGGAUUCUUUUUAUUCUUAAUUACUUCCUUCGUCCCAAAAUUCUUGUUUUAGGUUUGUUUAGAAACGGAUGUAUCUACCUAAUAAUAAAGCGGCUAUUGCUUCCGUCGGAAAACCCACUACGGAAUUUUUGUAAUAAAGCCCGUGUAAUUUUUGUUAUUCAACCUGCGCUUCAUCAUUUACUGCAACGCAAAAGAAAAAAAUGAUUCGCUGCAAAAAUUAUACCCGUACGCAUCGCCUCCUCCAAUCGACCCUCGGCCACCCUGGCCUGUGCCGAGGCCGCCGCAACACCACUCACCGCUAUGGCCGACCUCAACCACCACCGCUGCCGAUCUCAACCCACCCGCCUCCGCGGGUGUACCUCUCCCCACUCACUGCCCCCGUUGCGGCGCUCGAGCGCAUCGCGUCGACCCUGGUCCACCCUGGCCAGUGCCCAGACCGCUGCCACACCACUCAUCGCCGCGGCCGACCUCAACCACCAGUGAUGUUGAUCUCAACCCACCCACCUCCACGGUCGUACCUCUGCCCGCUUGUUGCCCCCGUUUCGGCGCUCGAGCACAGCUUCUGGAUCAAAUCAACGCGACAACUACAUCGACUUGGGAUGAUGCGUCUGCUCGAUGCAGAACGGCGUCGGCGCGCGGAUAAGGCGCGACGGAGCGAAGUACUUGCAGGUGGAGGCGGGCCUCCAUGGCUCAUACGGGGAACUCCGAGGUUAUGGCGCGGCAACGACGACUCCUUAUGGCCACAUAGAGGCGCCUAACCCCUUGCUCCCCUCAUCGUAUCCCCUCCUCCGUUAGGAACUCAUCAUCUCGUGAGAUGCCCUCCCCAUGCCUCCAACCGUGUGCCAAGCACCGGCAAGAAAUUUUGUUUUGUGGGAAUUUGUUUUGCUGAUGAAUGAAUGUAUUGAAUGUAAGAUUGCAUUGUUGUAGAGAGAGAGAAUGGAACACCACCUUCAGUUUGUCAUCUGAUCCCACAUUCUCUACCCCAUGAGUGAAAUAAGAUAACAGUCCAUUAAUCAAUUCAGGUAGCCUCUUUGUUUUGCUUUGCUUGUCCCGCUCAAUUUCUCAUCAUGAUGGAAUUAACAAUGGACGGGUUGAUUUCUCAACAAAAUAGGAUAGGACUGACUACAUUAGUUAGUUAGCUUAUUAUUUUAAUAAAUCAACAUUAUUAUAAAAAGAUUAAAAGCUUGUGGUAUUUUUUUCUCCCGUUGCAACGCACGGGCCCUUUUGCUAGUUAUUAAAACGUGACUAGAUACAUUCAUAUUUAGACAAAUCUAAGACAAUAAUUUUGGGACGGAGGGAGUACGUACUUUCUAAACUUUAUUUUAUGGCGAAGCACGAACAAGGGCACGUGGCGCCGAGUUUCACGGGUAGAAGGGGAACUUUCGUGGACACCAAGACCUACCAUCGCCUGCCUCAUCUAGGGUUAGGGUUGGCUCCUGCGACAUGGGCGAUCCCCUGCCCUUGUCGUCGUCGCCGCCGGUGCUGCCUAAGGAUGGAAGCCUAUCGGUGUUGAGGGGGGCCUCCCCCCAACGCACGUCUCCGCUGUCUCCGUCGUCAAAGUGUCCUCUUCUACCCCGGACGAGAGGAGUCCGAAGCCUACACGAAGGAAGCCACGCGUUAAACCCUAUUUAUAGGUGCGGCCGGCAGAUCGACCAUAGACGUCCCCGACAACGCAACCCCGAGCCGCCUGACCCCGGCUCCGGAUCGCUUGCCUCGAUGUCGUCUUCAGCGUCGUUUCACGCUGGUGGUGGGGGUGAUCAUGGGGGGCCGGUGAGGUUCCUACCCACCCGAAGCCACCGCGCGAGGGGGGCAUAGUGACGUCGGGAGCUCGGAGGACUCACAAUCUCGGGCAACGUCAGGAAGAAGAGAACAUCAACUGGGAUGCUCGGAGGGCGGGUGGCGGCCUGACGGGGCCCGCUGAAGCACACCUCGGAGGUGAAGUGAUCAUGGACGAUGUGGCCUUUUGUCGUAGUUGAUCAGCGAAUAAAAGUAUACACUCAAGUAUGGAUCAUCAGUACUCUUUUAUGAUUCUUGAGUCCUUAGGGGUCCCGCACUAUUAAGAGGGGAUCACAGGUUUUGCGAUGAACUUGCUCAAAUUACAUCUUCACUUUGUGUUCAGACCACAUCUCCACUGCUCUGCUGUUAUGUGAAAACAGAACCAGUGCCUCGGACAUCCGGCCUCCUCCGGACGUCCGAGGACCGGACGCCCGACAGCUUCGGAAAUCCGGAAUCCUAUACCAGAGAAAUCAGAGCCAUAUAACUCAGACUUCCGGCUACCUCCGGGCGUCCGAGGCCCGGAUGUCCCGCCAAGUCCCGGAAAUCCGGAAGCCUGCACCAGUAGAAGUUGAGCUCUAUAUCUCGGAAAUCCGUCUCCCUCCGGACGUCCGAGCGCCGGACGUCCGACACCCGUCGGAAAUCCGGAACCUACCACCAGUAGAAAUUGUGUUGUAUAACACGGACUUCCGGGCCACUCCGGACGUCCGUAUGUUGAUGAAUUCAAAUAUGUUCACGCACAUCUACAGGCCUCGGACGACCGACCCCUGUCGGACGUCCGGCCGCUGAUGAAUUCAGAAGAGUUCCAGUCAUGCCUACAGGUCUCAGACGUCCGACCUCUGUCGGAUGUCCGGUCCCUCGCGGACGCCCGGACUUCCGACAACUGUCGGACGUCCGGACCCUGUGUGACUUAAAGUGUCCCCAACGGCUCUUUUUCUCUCCCCACUAUAAAUACCCCCCUCCCACUUCGUGAGAGGGUUGCCCAACACAGCCUUAUCCUCAUAAGAACACACUUCCACCUCACACACAUUUGCUCACUCCAAAUCUUAGAUCCCAAGAGCAUUUGUGAGCCCCUUUGAGAGUUGUUCCAAUCGAUAGAUCUUCUCCCUCUCCUUCUCUCAACCCAAACUAUUUGUGAUUUGAUCAAGUUUUGAGCAUUCCCCGUGAUCUUAUUACUCUUGGAGGUUGGAGACUCCUAGGCGGUAGGAGUUCUUCGAAGAGGAAUCAAUUCGUGUGAUUUCCCCCGGAAAAGUUUGUGAGGGUUUGGAAGCCACCUCAAAGGCUUACCACUAGUGGUUGAGAAACGCCUUCGUGGUGUUAUCUCAAAGGGAGAAUAGGGUGAGCCUUCGUGGCGUUGGUGUGCCUUCGUGGUAACAUCCACCUCUCUAACGAUGACUAGCUUCCCUCCAAGGAAGUGAACAUCGGGAUACAUCUUCGUCUCAGUGACCUUGGUUAUCCUUAACCCUAACUCCUUACUUGUGGUUUACUUGUGUUAUUUGAGCAUACAUACAUUGCAUAUUGCUUGUGCUCAUUAUAUUGUGUUGGCUAUUUCUUGUACAAGAUUAAUCAUUCAAGCAUACCCUCUAUAUCCACACGUACAUACUAUCAACCCUUGAUAUAUCGUUUGAUAUAGUGUGAUCUAAUAUCUUGUGUUAUUUACCUACUUGUCGUGUGAUAUAGCUCAAGUAAGUUUGUGUAACUUACUUGUGCUUGUUAGUAACUGCAUUGUGUCCAUCUUGGUAGAUCGUGUUGUUGAUACACGUUGCAGUGCCUAGUGCAUUUAGGAUUUGUGCUUGACAAGUACCCUCUUAGUUUAUUUUCGCAUUAGGUUCAAGCCAAAUCUGAAGAAGUUUUUAAAUAGCCUAUUCACCCCCCCUCUAGGCAUCAUCGAGGUCUUUUCAAUUGGUAUCAGAGCUAGGUCUCUCUUUAAUUAGGUUUCACGACCUUGAGAGUAUCGAUGUCGACUAUUGUAUUAGUGCACAAUGGCAUCUUUGACUUUGAUGGCACAAAUUAUACCCUAUGGAGAAUUUGUAUGCUUCAUCACUUUCGGGCCAUGGGCCCAAAUACUUUACGAAUUAUUCUUGAAGGGAUUGCCGACAAAAAGGAUGAUGCAUCUUCAUCUACUAAUGAAAUGUAUCUUGAUUGCGAGGCUUUUCUUGCCAUUCAUCGAACCAUAAGUCCUGAAGUGUUUAAGUCUAUCUCGACUUGCAAGUCAGCUCAUGAAGUUUGGACUAAACUUGAAGAUAUAUAUGGUGGGUCCAAUCUUGAUGAAGACGGUAUUAUGAUGAAGGAGUUGGUGCAUGAGCUCUUCACUCUUUUCGAUCCUAAAGAGUCCACCACUACUUCCAUAUCCGAUUGCUUGCACACCUCAGCAUCUUCAAUCUCACAAGGUAAUGACAUGGUGAGUGAAGAAAUAUAUGUUGAUGAAAAUGGCUUAGCCUCUAUGGACACGAGCAUAUCUAGCACCACACAUAGUGUAAAUUAUUGUGCUGAUAGGUCAUGCAUUCCACCUAAAGAUUCCUUGACAAAUGUCUGUGGUGAUAUGUCUGCUUCCUCGUGUCCUCUUGAUCAAAAUAUCUUGUUUCUCCCUAGUUGCUCUAUGACUAACCAUUUAGGGGAAUUCAAGAAAUAUGAAGUACUUUUGACUAAUGAAGAAUCUGAUUCACCAAAAGAAUCAUCAUCAAGUCCUCCUGUUCACAUGUACCUCAUGGCAAGAGGUAAUAAUGAGGUAUCAUCUUCCCUGUGCAAUAACGAUGAUAUUUGCGAUGAGGAUGGUGAUGAUGACUUGACUGAAAAUAUCUAUGUGAUCAGUAAAAUUCUUCAUAAAGCUAAAAAUAACUCUCUUCAAAGGUUCCAAGAUGUUCUUGCUUACUUUGAAAAUUGUAAUGAUUCACUUAAUCAUGAACAAGCUAAAAGUGAACAACUUGAACUUGAACUUGAGAAGAGUCAUCAAGCAUGUAGAGACUUAAGAACUUCAAAAGGAGAGAUUGAAGUUGCUCAUGAUAAACUUAAAAAGGAUUUUGAGGUCCUUCUCCUUGAAUGCAAUAAUGUCAAGGGAGAGCUCAUCAAAACCUCUAAGAUCUAUGAGGAGCUUCAAUCUACUCAUGAGAAGUCUCUAUUUGCUACUUACUUCUCUCAUAUUGUUGAUGAUACUUGUACAUCUAACUCUACCUCUUUUGAAGUAUCAACAUUGAAGGAGAAUGUUGAGCUACGUGCUCAACUUGAUUUACUAACUAGCAAUUAUGGGAAGUUGGAAGAAAACCAUGUAAUGCUCACAAGCUCUCAUGCCGAUCUUCUAACAUCCCAUAAUGUGCAAAAGUUAGCUCAUGAGGCUAUCAUCACCAAGGUAACAUCAAGCGAGCCUCAUGUGGACAAUGGCACUACUUCUGGUCAAAGUACUAUAUUUCCAUGUGCUAGUCCUCGUAAUUCGUCUACUCAUAAUGUUGCUACCUCGUGUGAUGAAUUACUUUCCUUGCCUUGUUGCUCUAACAUCGAAGCUUACACUUCCUCUAGUACUUGCAUUGAUACUAACCGUGCAGAGGAAAUCAAAGAGCUCAAGGCCCAAGUCACUUCUUUGAAGAAAGACUUGGAACAGUGUCAUGAAGAGAUGCCCACACUCAACAAUGUCCUGUGUGAGCAAACAUCUCCGAAUGACAAAAAUGAGUUUGGAGUAAACUCAAACAAGAACAAGAGGGGCCUAGAACAAGUCAAUAAUUCGGCCAAAAUCAUUUGCUUCAAGUGCAAAGUUAAAGGGCACCCUGUUAGAUCUUGCCCUCUGAAGACGAAGUCUCAAAGUCACAAGCAACAAGGGAAGCGGCCACAAACUCAAUCACAUAUUCAACUACAAGUUGAAGCAAGGCCUCUUCCCAAUAAGACCCAAACCAACACUCCCCGAGGUGAGAAAUCAACUGCGAAGAAAGAAAAGGGUAGAUGUUGCUACUUAUGUCGUGAGAAGGGUCACGUCGCUUCGUCUUGCACAAGAGGUAACUUAUCCAACCCAAUCACUAUUGAUGAUAUCUAUUCCCUUGGGAAGGAUAAGGUUGGCAAUGUGUUUGCCAAGUUUGUUGGUACUCAAAAUGGUGUCAAGAAAAGAACCAUUUGGUUUGCCAAGCCUAUUGUGAUUAACUUCUUAGGACCCAACGUAGUUGGGGACCAACAAGCUCAAACUUGAUCAAUAGGUGACUAUGGAGGACAUUAGAGACUUGGAUACAUAAUGAAGAAUUAAUGGGUCUUCAUCAUUCAUAUUAUCUCAAGCCAAGUCAUUUGGAUUAUCAAGUUUCUAUCUUAUAUCUAAUGUGCCUCCUUACGGUAACUUAUACUUAAACUGUUUACAUUGUUAGGUGCUUGCCCCCCUUUUGCAUGUUGUGGUUUUGUACCUUGCAUGUGUUUGUAUAUGUUGUGCUUCCAACUUGCUUAUCUUGAGUAAUCAAGUAUGUGUAUGUUGGUUUGCACAUCAUGUACAUGUGAGUCUUGUAUUGAGCCUAUUUGCAUCUUGUCUGUAUUUUUGUUGGCUCUUGUGAGAGAUUAAUGGAUUAUUCCAUUGUGGGGGAGUGAUGUGCUUUGCACACCUCACAAUCCUAUAAAUGUGUAUACAUGGGGAAUACCACUUAGUUUUGAUGCUUCAAGAUUAUCUAGUGUCUAUGUGGUAUGUCUUACUCAUGAGAAAUUCACAUUCUAUAUGGUCCAUUAAGUAUCUCUUGUUGGUUCUAAUUUGCCACUUGUCAAUGUUAUUGGUUUAUCACAUUGUGGGGGAGUAAUAUGCUAUGUGCAUAUUACAAACCUAGAAAAUGUGUACAUUUGACGUAUUGCCACUUAGUGUUGAUAUUGUAAAUUAUCUUGUUCCUAGGUGGCAUGUUAGCUCUACAAGUGACAUUUGCUUGCGUUUUAUGGGUAAAGAUGAUCUUGGAUAUAUUUGUGAUCUACCAAUGAGUAUCAUUUCAAAAAUACUUCUUGUCGUUGACAAUUGGUAUUCCCAUCAUGUGAUUGGAAUUGAUAAUCAUCUUUACAUUGGAUUUUGUGUUUCAUUUGUCUUUCUUGCCUCUUAUGAAUCUAUUUUUAACAUGUCUAGUGUGGUUAUAGAUAUAGAGAAAGUGAUGAUCCCAUCGUGUGAGUGUUGUAUUCAAAUGCAAAUUCUAUAUAAUGCACGUCCCUUGGGGGAGCUAUCCUAUUCUCUUUAAAACACUCUCUUUAUUCACCCAUCAUAAAAUCAUUUGAUCCCCAUCAAGUGUGUGUUGAUGGGAGGCAAGUCUUGCUCUUUAUGAUGCUUUGUGCCAUCAUGAAAAUUUGUAGAGGGCUUUGUUUGUUGGAACCUAGCUCUCUCUUGGAAACUAGAUACUUCGUGUUUGUUUUCCUUCAAUUGGUUUCUUGUUGCCUUCUAAUUGGCACGUGUCAAUGGAUAUCUCAUUCCUUGAUGUAUCUUUUUAAUUGAUAUCUUUCAAGUGAUAGUUCUUUUGUUUUAGGAUCUUAUUAUCACUUGAUACCUUGUCUUUUGGUGACUUAUCAACUUUGUGUUGAUUUGACUCUUAAGAGUCUUGAGCAUGCGUAUCAUAUCUACUUUAUACAACUUCUUUUGCUUGCUUUCCUUCUUUGACCCAAUAUAUAUGGGAAAUUCCACCUUGUCAUAAAUUGGCUAAAGUGUGCAUGAAAUUCAAAUUCAUAUCUAUAUGCACAUAUGUAUGUGGAGUUUGUCCUAUGUAUUGCUGGUUUUCUAACUCUUUGGUCCCAAUGAGUUUGGGCACCAUUUUGUUUGUUUUGUUGUUCCAGGAACAACUGGAGAUGCAUUGGAUGCUCGGCUCACCUAUAAGGAAGAUGUUGAGACCAUGUGAUUGUUGGAGCCAAGUUAGGAUGAUCAAGGAACAACCAUCUACUACAUCAAUCCAAUGUUGUCUCGGUAACAAGUAUCCACUUCAUGCAUUAUUUUCUUGCAAAGGACCCAACCUGUCUUUUCUUUUCCAGGUUGCAUCAUGGCAUGAAUCUCUUUAUUCGUUCAUGUAGUACUUGUUUGCUUUCUCAAAGCAUCCGAACGAUGAUGUCUUACUACUAGUUGGGAUGCCUUUGAUGUUUGUAUGUUGGAAGUUCAUAUUAUACAAUAAGAAAAUAUUUGGCCAUGUGCUAUGCUUCCAAGCAAAAGAUCUCAUUGAUAUAUUUAUGACUUCCUUUUGGAUAUCUAGUUUGUUCCUUCUUGUAACCAUUUCAUGUGUACAUCCUUCUUUGUGGAUAUAUAUCAUCAUGAUUGUCUUCUACUUAGAAUCUUUUACAGAUGAGAGAAGUUACAUCUCUAAUUGAUAUCCUCUUUUCCUUCACGUCCAUCGUUGCAUUUCCUCUUUCAAGUUUUUUUUAUGGCUUCGUGAAAGGAUUUGUUUUGAGUGCGCAUCUUAUUUCUACAUCUUGAUGCACUCUUUGGCAGUGAAGAUUAUUUUUCCUCAUGCUUGUCUUGAUGAGGGUUUUGCCAUUUCAACUAGUAUCCCUUCUAUUGACAAGGUUCUUACUUCCUAUCUUCACAAUGGGUUGUCACAAGCAUUGGUUCUUAUUUUGUUUAUUAGUAAGCUUGUGAACCCAUUUUCUAGUAUGUGUGUGUGGGAAUGAUAUGUCUUGCACUUUGUAUCUCAUAUUCAUCAAGACUAUGUUGAUGAGCAAUGCUCAUCCUUAUCUUAAGUCUUCUCAAGUGCUUUGCCAUGAUUCACACACAUUACUUUGGUUGAGCUUAUUCUUAAGUUGCUUCCUUUACAUGUUGCUCAACCAUUAGUUUUGUGCAAUUGAUAUGCCUAUUGUCUCAUCUAUCGUCUUGCACUCGUCGUGUGUGUCUAUUAAUUCUGGGGGAGCAACGAUCCUAUUUUGUGCACCUGUGUCAAAUACAAAAAUCUCAUAUUAGUGCACAAAUCAUGGGGAGCUUCUCUAGUUUUUGAUAAAGCACUGUGUUGCCUCUAUCAUAAUAUCUUUUAUUCAUGUGGUUCGAAGGACCAUAUGAUUGUUUGUUCCAUCUGGAAUUCUUUGAUUGCUUGCCUCCAUCUUUGUAUGUCUUUGUGGCAUACGAUCCUUUUUUCCUCCAACUACUUAUCAUUGUAUUUGUGUAUUUUUCUGCACUCAUUUGCUGAGAAGUACACACUUUUUUGGAGGACCACCUACUAUUUUGGCUUUCUAAACUUGUCGUCCAUUUUGGCAAUCGAUGCCAAUGGGGGAGAAGUUUAGAGAGUUUACUUUGGAUACGUCUAGAGGGUUUUGCUUUUAUUGCGUAAGCAUUUACAUCUUGCACACACGUACUAUUACCUUGUAUGUGUGCGCUUGGUUAUGCUUAUCUCCUUAUAUAAACUCUCUUGAAGUGGUUGUCUUCAAUUACCAAAAUGGGGGAGAUUGUUAGAGCAUAUAUCUCCAUAUGUGGUUUUGGUAAUUGAUGACAACUCCUAUGGACUAAUGGUUGCUUUAAGUUAUAUUUAUAGGACUUGUCCAUAGGCACUUCGUGAAGUCCAUCUGUUGGGUUCAAGGAGUUUAUAUGUUGACCAAGAUGUUAUUCAAGUUAUUAUCCAAAGAAUGGUCAUAGAAACACUAGGUUGAUCAAGAUCUCAGCCAAAGAGUAAAUCAAUAUGAUCAACACACAAAGCGUAUAAGAUGUACCGAGAGGGAUCAAGUGAUCUCAUAUCUCAGACAAAGAGUAAAUCAAGAUGAUCAACACACAAACCGUAUAAGAUGUACCGAGAGGGAUCAAGUGAUCCCAUGGUAUGGUAAGCAUUGUCCAUUACGUGUUUGUGUACUAACCCAUGGUCUUUAUGAGACUCCUAUGUGGGGGUUAGGUGUGCUUCCACUGGGCUUGCGUCAAAAGGAAGAUCUCAUACAACCCAUGAAGGAUGACGUCAAGUGGUGAUCGUCAUCAAGAUUGUGGUGUGCAAGUUCAAGCGGAUCAGCACGAAUAUAUCAUUGAAACUAUUGUCAAUGAUCAUGUGCUGACAAGGACAACCUCAUGUGCUAACAAGGACAAGAUCAAGAUAAGCAUUCCUGAGCACUACAUGCUUGAUUCUUGUGGAUGUUCACAUGAUGGACAGGACAAGAUCAAGAUAAGAAUUCUUGACAACUUCAUGCUUGAUUCUUGUGGAUGUUCACGUGGUGGACAAAUGAAGAUGAAUACAUAAGCUAGGCUUUCCGCAUUGUGUAUGGGAAAGCUACUUGAAGAGUUCAUCAUGUCUUGCUUUCAACUUGAGCCAAGAAGGAACAACAACAUCAAGCUCAAGUGAAAGGGCUAACUCAAAGGUAUCAGUUCCUUUGACGUUAGUUGUGCGGAGUGAUGAUCAGCGAAUAAAAGUAUACACUCAAGUAUGGAUCAUCAGUACUCUUUUAUGAUUCUUGAGUCCUUAGGGAUCCCACACUAUUAAGAGGGGAUCACAGGUUUUGCGAUGAACUUGCUCAAACUACAUCUUCACUUUGUGUUCAGACCACAUCUCCACUGCUCUGUUGUUAUCUAAAAACAAAACCAGUGCCUCGGACAUCCGGCCUCCUCCGGACGUCCGAGGACCGGACGCCCGACGGCUUCGGAAAUCCGGAAUCCUAUACCAGAGAAAUCAGAGCCAUAUAACUCGGACUUCCGGCUACCUCCGGACGUCCGAGGCCCGGAUGUCCGGCCAAGUCCCGGAAAUCCGGAAGCCUGCACCAGUAGAAGUUGAGUUCUAUAUCUCGGAAAUCCGGCUCCCUCCGGACAUCCGACACCCGUCGGAAAUCCGGAACCUACCACCAGUAGAAAUUGUGCUGUAUAACACGGACUUCCAGGCCACUCCGGACGUCCGUAUGCUGAUGAAUUCAAAUAUGUUCACGCACAUCUACAUGCCUCGGACGACCGACCCCUGUCGGACGUCCGGCCGCUGAUGAAUUCAGAAGAGUUCCAGUCAUGCCUACAGGUCUCAGACGUCCGACCUCUGUCGGACGUCCGGUCCCUCGCGGACGCCCGGACUUCCGACAACUGUCGGACGUCCGGACCCUAUGUGACUUAAAGUGUCCCCAACGGCUCUUUUUCUCUCCCCACUAUAAAUACCCCCUCCCACUUCGUGAGAGGGUUUCCCAACACAGCCUUAUCCUCAUAAGAACACACUUCCACCUCACACACAUUUGCUCACUCCAAAUCUUAGAUCCCAAGAGCAUUUGUGAGCCCCUUUGAGAGUUGUUCCAAUCAAAAGAUAGAUAUUCUCCCUCUCCUUCUCUCAACCCAAGCUAUUUGUGAUUUGAGCAAGUUUUGAGCAUUCCCCGUGAUCUUAUUACUCUUGGAGGUUGGAGACUCCUAGGCGGUAGGAGUUCUUCGGAGAGGAAUCAAUUCGUGUGAUUUCCCCCGGAAAAGUUUGUGAGGGUUUGGAAGCCACCUCAAAGGCUUACCACUAGUGGUUGAGAAACGCCUUCGUGGUGUUAUCUCAAAGGGAGAAUAUGGUGAGCCUUCGUGGCGUUGGUGUGCCUUCGUGGUAACAUCCACCUCUCUAACGGUGACUAGCUUCCCUCCAAGGAAGUGAACAUCGGGAUACAUCUUCGUCUCAGUGACCUUGGUUAUCCUUAACCCUAACUCCUUACUUGUGGUUUACUUGUGUUAUUUGAGCAUACAUACAUUGCAUAUUGCUUGUGCUCAUUAUAUUGUGUUGGCUAUUUCUUGUACAAGAUUAAUCAUUCAAGCAUACCCUCUAUAUCCACACGUACAUACUUGCAACCCUUGAUAUAUCGUGUGAUAUAGUGUGAUCUAGUAUCUUGUGUUAUUUACCUACUUGUCGUGUGAUAUAGCUCAAGUAAGUUUGUGUAACUUACUUGUGCUUGUUAGUAACUGCAUUGUGUCCAUCUUGGUAGAUCGUGUUGUUGAUACACGUUGCAGUGCCUAGUGCAUUUAGGAUUUGUGCUUGACAAGUACCCUCUUAGUUUAUUUCCGCAUUAGGUUCAAGCCAAAUCUGAAGAAGUUUUUAAAUAGCCUAUUCACCCCCCCCUCUAGGCGUCAUCGAGGUCUUUUUAGCAGUGGAUUUCGAGGAGGAGGAGGAAGAAGUAGAGGAAACAGAGAGAUGGAAGCUCCUAGGUUUGUACCGUGCGCAGAAGUGCCCUAGCGCAAAAACUCUGUCCAACCACUUCCAAAAAAUCUGGCAGCUGCGAACAGGUGUGGAGUUUCAACCUAUGGAGAGUAAUCACUUUGUGAUCAAGCUCUUCUCGGAAGGAGAUUUUAACUUUGUGGGCCGCGGAGGUCCAUGGAUAUAUGAUGGUAAUGCCUUGCUGGUAGCUUCGUUCGAUGGCGAUGCUCGCCCCUCUGAAUCAGUCCUUGACUCUGUCUCGGUGUGGGUGCGAGUGUUUGAUGUUCCAUGGAAAAGGCAGACUAGAGCUUAUGGGAGAGCCAUAGGUGGUACCUUAGGCGAAGUAAUGGCGGUGGACGCACCGGAAUCGGGGCAUGCAAUGAAUGAAUUCUUGCGCAUCAGAGUUAAACUACCCUAUAAUCAGAGAUUGCAGAAAGAGGUAAUAUUGGAGUACAAGGUGCAAGGGGCUGUGAAACGCUGCAUAUUCCAGCUCAAAUAUGAGCGGGUCCCACACUUUUGUUUUGAGUGCGGUUUUAUGGGGCAUGAUAAACUUGCUUGUGAGAAGAAGCUUCUGGGGCUCCCUUCGAAGGCAUAUGAUUCCACGCUACGCUGUUCCCCUUACAAAAAAUAUGAACACAUGACAACCUUUACCCCCUCGCCAGGACAGCCACGAGCACGAAGGGGGAUGAGCUUCUCCUUCGGAAGUGCUGGUUCUGCAAAUAACAUCGACCAGCUCAGAUCGAGUGGGAGUAGCAAACCGAAGGAGGAGGAUGGGAUCCCGCAGAGGGUGGAUGCCCAUGAUAAUUUUGAACAAGGGGAAAUACCAUGCUCAGACGCCGUUGAUCAAAAGCUGGCAAAAGAGGUGAACAAUAUAAAGUUGCAUCUAGUAUCGGAGGAACCGAAAUGCAGCAAGAUGCAGAAGCUGAAGGCUUGUUUCACAGCAAAAGCUCCUGUUAAUAGUGGUGUAGAUGGGAGUAAGCAGCGUAAGAAGAAAAGUGCGGUGCCAAAAAAGGGGACAGGGGGAAGAUGCUCGGGCAACCUGGUGAUUCGUGAUGAACCUCUUGGAUUAGAUGAGAUGAUUCCUGCUCUCCGUGGUCUGAGCUUGAUCAGCUCGUUUGGGACGGCAUCUCUAUCCUUGGAUUUGCAUGAUUUUGUCUUGGGCAAGCGUCAGGUGGAUGGAAUGCUAGGAUUCGAACUAGUGGUUGAUGCCACAAAUGCCAUGGUUCCCUAUGUCGCUGCUGAGCCGGGAGGGAUACAAAAGAAAGGGAAAGUGGAUAAGCUAACGGAGGCACACGGAUGUCUGAUGAGCAAAAUACUGGUGGGAGAUAGCGGGGGGUGUGCGGUGGAUAUGGAGGCAACCGGCCAUGGGGCCGCCGGUGAACUGACGGGGCCAUGUGUGGCGCCCCGUCAGGAGCAAUGAAUUGCAUUACAUGGAACUGUCGGGGAGCUGCCAACAAACCGACAGUUCGUGAAUUGACGGGCCUGGUGCAAAAGGCAAAGGCCCGGUUGGUGUUUCUGUGUGAGACCAGACAAAAAACAACAAAGAUGCAGCGUUUAUGUGGUCGACUGGGGCUUAGGGGUUUUGCUGGUUCUGAUAGUGAGGGACUUAGUGGUGGUCUGGCGCUCUUCUGGUGUGAAAAGCUUUGUGUGGAUGUUAAAGAAGUGAAUGAAAGAUUUAUUGAUGUUUAUAUUCGCUCUUCUUUGUCAGAAUCGGAAUGGAGACUUACGUGUGUGUAUGGGGAGCCGAGGGUGGAAAAUAUACACCAUAUGUGGACCUUGAUGCAGAACCUGAAAUUGAACUCGGAUUUGCCCUGGUGUGUCAUGGGUGAUUUUAACGAAGCAAUGUGGUCCUUUGAACACUUGUCCGUGUCCCCUCAUGGAGAUCAACAAAUGCUAGCUUUCCGGGAGGUUUGUGGUCUCCAAGACUUGGGGUUCUCCGGCCUGCCCUUCACAUAUGAUAAUAAGCGUGAAGGACGAAGGAACGUCAAGGUCCGCUUGGACAGGGUGGUUGCGGAUAACGCGUGGCGAGAUAUGUUCUCUGACGCGGCGGUCUCCCACUUGAUUAGUGCAUGUUCUGAUCACCUUCCUGUCCUUUUAUGCUGUGAAAAGGAACCUGACAAGAACUGGAGACCAGCCCAUAAGCAAUAUGAGAUAGCUUGAGAAAGAGAACCGAGUUUGCAAGAGAGAAUUGAUACAGGUUGGGCAGAGGCAGGCAGGAUGGCUCAUCUGGGGGAUGUUCGACAAGGUUUGUGCCAGCUUAUGAAUAAACUUCAAGUCUGGAGUAAGGAGAAAUUUUGCCAUGUAACCCAGGAGCUGGAAAAAAGUAGAUCAAGGCUGGAGGAGCUCCUUAAUAUGAAUGCUGGUAGAAAUGAGAUACGGAAAGUCACGGAUCAUAUGAAUGAGCUACUAUAUCGUGAGGAGCUCCUUUGGAUGCAGCGGUCCAUAGUGGAUUGGCUGCGGGAUGGUGACCAGAACACCAAGUUUUUCCACCGGAAAGCAGUCUGGCGUGCCUGCAAAAACCGUGUCAAAACCCUUAUGGACGAUCAAGGGGUCGAGCACAGCGAUCCGAAGGUUAUGGGCAGUAUGGUUAAUGCUUAUUUUCAGGAGCUAUUCACGGCGGAGGAACACCUCAUAACGGCACCUGUCAUAGACCUUCUCGAACCAAAAGUCUCGCAAGAUAUGAAUAAUAGUCUAUGCAAGGAGUUUACGAAGAAAGAAAUCUCGGAUAGCCUAUUCCAAAUUGGACCCCUUAAAGCUCCGGGAGUGGAUGGUUUUCCAGCAAGAUUCUUUCAGAAGAAUUGGGCUGUUAUGAAGGAGGACAUCAUUGUAGCGGUGAAACGUUUCUUCAGCACCGGGGUGAUGCCACAGGGUGUGAACGAGACGGCCAUUGUGCUUAUCCCCAAGGUAGACGACCCCAAUCGCCUUAAGGACUUCCGGCCCAUCAGCUUAUGUAACGUCGUGUACAAGAUCGUCGCAAAGUGCCUGGUUAAUCGGCUUCGCCCAGUCCUUGAUGAGAUUAUUUCACCAGCACAGUGCACAUUUGUCCCAGGCAGAAUGAUUACUGAUAAUGCAUUACUGGCUUUUGAGUGCCUACAUUUCAUGCACCAGGACAAAAACACGGAGGACAGUUUCUGUGCUUAUAAGCUGGAUCUCUCCAAGGCCUGUGACAGGGUUGAUUGGAGCUUUCUGCGACAAGUUAUGAAAAAGUUGGGUUUCUCUAAUCAAUGGAUACAAUGGAUCAUGGCUUGUAUUACGUCGGUGAAAUACUCUGUCAAAUUCAACGGCUCCAUGUUGAACUCGUUCACACCCUCGCGGGGGCUUCGACAAGGUGAUCCCCUGUCCCCCUUUCUAUUCCUGUUUGUCGCUGAUGGACUCUCCGCUCUACUUAGACAUGGAGUAGAAUCAAACAACCUUCAUCCAGUCAAAGUUUGCCGAAGGGCCCCAGGAGUCUCUCACCUCUUAUUUGCCGACGACACCCUCCUCUUCUUCAAGGCAAACCAAGCACAAGCCACGUUUGUAAAAGGUGUCAUCCAGAGCUAUGAGCAAGCUACGGGUCAGCUGAUUAAUACCCAGAAAUGCUCCAUUCAAUUUGGAGAGGCCUGCCCAGUAGUAAAACAAGAACAAGUGCGACAGAUCCUUGAUGUUCAAAUGGAAGAAUUUGAAGGAAAAUACCUGGGCCUUCCAACACCUGAUGGUAGGAUGCACCGGGGGAAGUUCCAAAAAUUGCAAGAAAGCCUCACACGACGUAUUCUGGAGUGGGGGGAUACUCUCUCUCAAGCAGGGAAGGAAACGAUGAUCAAGUCUGUUGCCCAGGGUAUUCCCACAUACAUUAUGGGGGUGUUCAAACUGCCUGCCUCUGUCUGCGAGGAUCUGUCUCGAUUAGUACGAAACUUUUGGUGGGGUGCUAAGGAGGGAAAGAGGAAAACACAUUGGAAGUCUUGGGAUAAAGUCUGCGAAUCAAAAAACAGAGGCAGACUAGGAUUCCGAGACUUCUGUUUGUUCAAUCAAGCUCUUCUUGCGCGACAGGCUUGGAGUCUACUAACCAGACCGGAGUCCCUGUGUGCACAGGUUAUCAAGGCAAAGUAUUACCCAAAUGGCGCCCUGGUGGACACGGUUUUCACUGGAAAUGCAUCACCAACAUGGCAAGCCAUCACCUAUGGGCUGGAUCUGCUCAAACGAGGUAUUAUCUGGCGAGUUGGAACCGGUGAGCAGAUCAGGAUUUGGAGGGAUCCAUGGAUUCCUAGACCACAUUCUUAUCGUCCUAUCUCAAUCAGAGGGAACUGCCGCCUUCGGAGGGUGUCUGAGCUCCUGGAUGAUCACGGACGCUAGCAUCUGGAAUCCCUGAACCGAUAUUUCUUACCAAUGGAUGUCCAGGACAUAAGUGAGAUCAGGACCUUCACAAAUCGGCUUGUCCAAGACGUCUUGGCGUGGGCGCCAGAUCCAAAAGGUGUCUUCUCAGUACGCUCGGCUUACCACCUCGCACAUGAGGAGAAACUUCGGGCAUCUAGGGAGGCGUCAAGUAGAGCACCAGAUGGUACUCGAGCUAUUUGGAAGGUGCUCUGGGGAUGCAUGGCCCCUCCAAAGGUGCGGGUGUUUGCCUGGAGGGUUGCAACAAACUCCCUUGCUACGGUUGCAAACCUGCUACGGCACAACAUGGGAGUGACAGAUACCUGUGUCAUUUGCGGUAAGGAGCGAGAAGACACCUUCCAUGCUCUAUGUACAUGCCCCUUGGAGCAAUGUUUAUGGAGAGACAUGGCGAAAUCCUAGAACAUGCCGAAGUUGGAAGAUAUACAGAACACAGGGACUGAGUGGCUGCUGCAUCUGCUGGACCAGUGUAAGCCUGAUCAACGCUACCUGUUCUAAUGACACUUUGGCGGAGUUGGCACGUCCACAAUGAACUUACUCAUGGCAAACAGGCACCGCCGACUGAAGCCUCCACGCGUUUCCUGUCCAGCUAUAUCCAAACGCUCCAGUGCAUAAAACAGUUUCCGAGGGGUGAUCUUGUCAAAGGAAAAAUGGUGCCCUCCCACCAGGGGAAGCUAAUAGCAAAUCAGAAGGAGGAGGUGCAACCAAAGGACCGGGUGCAACGGUGGACUAAGCCACCCCCUGGAUGGACCAAAUUAAACAUCGAUGGGGCCUUUUCUGAAGGUAACAAAAUUGGGGGUGCAGGAAUGAUCCUUCGGGACGAGGAAGGACAAGUCAUAUUCUCGUCUUGCCGCUAUCUCCGUACUUGCUCCCCGGCUCUCAAAGCGGAACUGGCGGCUUGUCUGGAGGGGAUCUUCAUAGCGCGCCCUGGAGUGAGCUGCCCAUGAUUGUUGAAUUGGAUUGCUCGUGCGCGGUCCAGAUGAUCGUCGAGGAAGGAAUUGAUAGAUCACCGCAUGCAAUCUUGGUGAUGCAGCUCAAACAAGCCCUUGGGGAGAUAGGAGAACAUGUGACAUCGCAUGUGGUUAGGAGUAGGAAUGCUCUAGCGGAUGCUCUUGCUCGGCUUGGACGUAUAAAUCAUCGUACGGCUGUAUGGCUACGUGGUAUACCUGAGGAGGUUGACACCUUAUGUAAGGAGGACUCGGUUGGUUAAUCAAUAUAUUUUUCAUUCGCAAAAAAAGGGCAUGUGGCGCCGUUGUUGCCACGAAGUAGACGGCUUCAACUGUGUACAAAGCAUCCAUCGUGGCUCGUCGUACUAAGAUUGCAACUGUGUUGUCAAGAUGAUUUGGGUUCGUCCAAUUCGGUUGUCGCAACGGAGAGUAUAAUUAGGCAACAUUCUUAUCGUUGUAUGACAUGGAGGACGUUGUGCACGCGUGCCUAAAUGAGCUUGCGACGGAUGCAUCUUCCUUUUCUUCCACAACGCUCGCGACGCAAAAAACACUCUAUCGAGCACCACGAUUUUAUCUCCACCCCUCCACUAAGGCAAUACAAUAGCCAUGGAGGUGGAUGAAUAUGCAUUCCUCUGCACCGACGACGGUGAGUUGUUCCACCUCAUAUGCGCGGGACAUGGCACACCGACACUGCGUUGUCCAUGUCUGGAGGAGGCAAGACGACCUCAUCGACGUAGCCAAGGGAACCUGCUCCAAUGACAAUCACCCACCAUAGUUGAGUCAAAGCACUACGAAUGUAAGACUCCAUAGCUAGUUUCCAUUUAGCAAAUGUGUUAGCUCUCAAAGGGGCCAAGCCCCAAAAUGAUUAAUGUGUGGGUGCGGAAUCGGUUGAGAUUCAACAACAUUGUACUUAGGAACGAGUGUGCAAGCGGGGGAUGCAAGGGGUUCUCUCGAGCCAUCCACGUCUUGAAGUACAUUUAGAUCAAAUGGACUAGUUGCGGACGAUGAAGCCUUUAUGUGUGCGUCCACUUUGUCCUUGACCGAGAAGUGAACUGCUUUCAACAUUACUGAUUUAAAAUCCACGAACAUUGAAAGGUUGGCUGCCGCAGUAAAGGUAGGAGCGAGACCAAUGUGGGAUGUGUCGGCGACAGGGGGGUUGUUGGACCCCUUCCACAAGGAGUGGCUCGCCACCCACAUCCUCAUGACCUUCCAUACCCUCUUUAGACGGUUAAGCCCAAUAAGAGAGUUGAGGCUCUUACAACAACUUAAAGAAUUGAUACGGUCGACUAGAGGGGGUGAACAGGAGACUACAAAUUUAAGCUUAGCUACAAAUUUUAGGGAUUCAUGAAUAAAUAGGUUCUCGAGAUACGCGUCCAGAUGAGCACAACUUAUAUGGCAAGCAAUAUAAGUUUCAAAUCACCCGCGGUUGGUCUUGAAGGCGACUAGCACGCCUUUACAUACGUCUAUGGAGCACACCACAAGGAAGGAACCUUUCGGAGGAACCUCAGCUGCGCAGGAGCCCAAGCUCCAAGAGUAACAAGUUGUUGGUGAGAAAAAUCUUGCAAGGAACACGAAUCAAUUUGGUCAAAGUUUAGAUUGGGCCUUGCUCACUCAAGACGAAGUCAUGUUUAAAACUCCACAGAAUUGAUAUGUGGACUAAAUGGAUAAAACGAGAGCCACAUACCAAAUUACACAAUUACUAUGCAUGCAAUUCUUUUAUAGGAGAAUUAAACCCAAUUCAAAUAUUUGAUGAUUUUAUUUAAAGCCCAAAAAUAAAUGCUUUAAGCCUAUAAAAUUAUUGGUUUGAAUUUUUGCUCUUGCCAAUAUUUUCAAGGUUUAACAAGAACAUUUUCUUGGGCUCAUUUGAAGAGAUUCUUAAUUUGAUAAUUUCAAAAAAUGAUUUCCAAGGCUUUGAGGAUUCCCUUAAUUCAAUUUUCAUUGAAAUAAAUAUGAUGCAUGAUUCUCUCUAGUAUAAUUAUUUUCAGGCAAGUAUUCUAGGGUUGUGACACUUGAACAGUUUUUCCACAACAUCUUUGUGAGUGAUAUCAUCGACACCUGUUGGCGUAAGCGCUCAACAAGACUGCUUUGGCGGUCGGUGAGUUCCACCACACUUUCUCUUCGAAGACUUCUCAAAUGAAUGUACUUUGCGAGAAGAUGUUUGCGAGAACAACAGAUUUGGCAGCGGAUUCAUCGUGAACAUUUUUUAUGGCAUCCCAGAUUUGUUUGGCUGUUUCAAGCCUCCGGAAUCGAAUAAAAAUAUUUUUGGAGAUGUUGUCGUAGAUGAUAUCCUUCGCUUGAGCAUCUAAGUGAAUGUUGGCUUCAUUUUCAUGAGUGGGUGUUUGUGGAUUUGGAAUAGUAUAUUUGUAUUCCACAAUCUUCCGUAACUUUAAUCUCAAGGCUUGAAGCUUGACUUUCAUUGUACUUUGCUAGUAUUGAUAAUCAUUUCCAUUGAAGGUAGGAAUUUCUUCACACUGUGUGGAUCUACGUGGAAGCGACAUACUCAAAACUCCAAGGCGACUUGACCUUUAAUAAACAGAGACAAGGAGACCUUGAUCUGAUACCAUUUGUUAGGACUAAGAGUAUACCAACCAGAGGGGGUGAAUGGGAGAUUCAAAUUUUCUUUUGAAACUUCGAAUCAAAACCACAUCAAACAACGGAAUAGAUAGAAUAGUGAAGGUAAAUGAUCAAAGCACAUACAAACAAUAAACUACAUGGGUAAAUCAAAGCUUUCGAUGAAGGAUGUGAUAAUCUUCUUUGCAUAAUAGUUCGAGGCUUACGCAAUGACAAUGGUGGCACAUAACGACAUCAAAACAGACAACUGGCUAGGAAGUCAUUGAAUGGAAGCAGAGCAGCCAGCUAUAUGAGACACAUAAUAUCGAGUAAAUGAUAGCACCUAAACUAAAGCGAGCACGAAUAGAAUUAUUAUAGAUACAUGAUCAUGGAUACCAUACAAAGUAUACAACACAGAAAUAAACUAGUGAACAAAUUGCAAUAGAAGAAGACUUGAAUCGGUGGUGCUCGAUGGCGGUAGAUGAUUUGGUAGACUAGUUCACUCUUUUGCAGAACAUCGACGUCUGAUUGGAGGUACUUGUGAUUGAACACGGGACUAGACCUCUCUCCAUUCUAUUUUCCUUCAAUUUAAAGUAGAUUAGACUUUGAUUGAAUUCACUCGGGGUAGAUACUUGUUAGUGAUGUCCAAACCUUUGACACAGUUCUUUGCAAAAUCACAAUUACUCUUGGUUGCUGAAGACUUUGCUUGGUGAAUACAAUUACUCUUCGACACUCAAGUCGACUCCAUCUAGAGAGUGUGGAGCUCUCAAGAGUAAUAGGUACAAGAAUUCUAACUCAGAUGCGUUAUGAUGCUCAACCACUAUCUAAGUUUUGGCUCUAGAUUUUCUAUCAAUUGAUUUUAAACUCAAUUCUCUCGAGAGGGUGAUCAAUAAACCUUCCCAAAAUCACAAGGAGUAACCAACAGACAACGUUGGUGCAGGGUGGCUAUUUACGGCGGCAUCCUUCCCAUGAGGGAAAUAACCAAACUGAACACGAAACCCCCAAUGGCCAACCAACACAUUUCCAAUGGUCAAAUUUUGAGAAUAACGGUAACUUUCCUUGCGGAGCAGGUAAAGCUAACUCCUCGGCCCGAUAGAUAUCUCUUGUGGCGAAGAAGAACUAUAUAUCUUGUUGAAAAGUAAUCAUUCGGAGCACAAAGAGAUUUCUCUCAGUCUUCCAUAGGUUUCGGCUAACCAUCAGAACUGACCUAAGCUUCGAGAACAUAUAACCCUCUUAAUAGUGUUAAUAGUACAAUGGUCAUGUUGGAUGUAAGCCCUAGAUGCAAUAAUAUUGUAUUAUUAUAUUUUUGUAUUCAUAACUGAGAGUUUAUAUUCUAUGUUAUAACUACUAUGAUAAUGGAAUAUGUGAUUCAGUGGAAAACUCAUAUGCGUGUGUGGAAUGAUAAACGGGAAAAUAAGAUCCCUAGUAUCACCUCUAAGACUGGCUCAAGUGUUGUUAGUGAUCAUGUUUUUCGGAUCUUAGGAUAACGUUAGGUGUAACAUUAGAAGAUCGACCAUAUUGAAUCGAGCGAUGACCUGUUUGUUAUACUUUGAGAUAAUGUCAUUUGAAAUCAAUUCUUAUAACACGGGAGUGUUAACACGUGUUUUAGUUCCUUAGACCAUGAAGUAUCGUAUUCACAUCUUAUUGUAUGGCGAACUUCGGGGUUGCUUAAACGUCAUUUGUAACUAGGUGAUCAUAACGACAACUCAUACGUCUCCAAUGUAUCUAUUUCUCCAAACACUUUUGCUCUUAUUUUUGGCCUCUAAUUUGCAUGAUUUGAAUUGAACUAACCUGGACUAACGCUAUUUUGAGGGAACUACCUUGGUGUUAUUUUUGUGCUGAAAUAAAAGUUCUCGAAAUCAGACGAAACUUUUUGUGAAUUAUUUUUUGGGAUUUAUAAGGAUUUACGAAGCAAAGACCUUCGGAGGUGAAGUGCGAGGGGGCCACAAGCCAUUAGGGCGCCCCCAUGCCGCGAGCUGAUGGCUUGUGGGGACCUCGAGGCUCCUCUGACACAAAUUCCAGUCCUAUAAAUUCAUAUUCUCCGAGAAAAAAAUAGGACGUUAAGACGACUUUCCUGAACGUUAAGACACAAGUGGUUAUUUUAGCCCUAGUAGUACUAGUUAUAUGCGUAGAUGAUAUAACUCGUUUAUCCCGCUCCUGUUUAUUUUAGCCCUAGUAGUACUAGCAAUAUGCGUAGAUGGUUUUGCUAUAUGCGUAAUAUUUGCUAGUCUUCUUCGUGAUCAGUAUGUCAUGAAUCUAGUCAAUGCCAUGUUAGUAAUUAUUUCAUGGAUUAAUCUACUCGGCAAAUUGCCUAUUUACUCAACAAUCCAAAAACCUAAUAUGUGUAGGAAUUUUCCGAGUAAUGGUUUUGCCGCUGCACUGAAACAUGAUAAGUUUACCGGUACUUAUUUCCCCACACGGUACUCAUUGGUUACCCCAAGUGGAAGGUUAAGAUGUAGUCAGUAGCAAGUUUUCCCUCACACGGCAACUGUAAGGUUUAUCGAACCAGGAGGACUCCUAGGCUCAACAAGUAGGUGUCUUCCACCCUAGUGCUAGCAGAAGACGUGGACCUGCACACACAACAAAUAACUUUGCUCUCAACGAGUACAGAGAGGUUGUCAAUCUCUCCGGUCUUGUAGUUUGCAAAGGAUCAAAACACAAGCGGGAAAGUAAUAGUGAUUGCAACAGAAAAGUAAAUGAAAGCAGUAAAUGAUGGAGGUGUAAACAAUGAUGGUGAUAUGGACCAGGGUCACAUGAUGUUCACCAGUGAUGUCUCUCUCCCAAAAGACGAUAAACAACUAUGCUUGGGUACACAAAUCACAGUUGGGCAAUUGACAAAAUUAUGAACGCACCUCAAUGCUAAUUAUGGUACUUGAUAGUUAGAGGUUCAAUAGUAAUGGACAGUACGCCAAGACAAGUAGACCAUUUAUUCAUCAGCAUCAACUUACUAAUCAUCCACCUUGAGAUAUCUAUCUAGAACAUCUUGUCGGUAUUAAGUUGCGAGCCCCACCCAAAGUGUAAACUCAAAGCAACGAACAACUGCAUUAACGAACUACGCGUAAGGUAAACAAUCCUUGCAACCGUGGUCACAAGCACCGUUGUUUUCUCCCUGGUGGCAACAACACAUCCCCUAGUCUCAUGUUUCUGUCACUCAAGCUAGACAUCGAGGGGCAUGAACCCACAAUCAUGCAUAACGCUCCCUCUUGGAGUUACAAUCUACUACUCAAGCAAAGCAAUAAAUAGCAACAGAGAACAUGCAUGGAUCACUAAGGAACAUAAUAUAAAAGGAUAAUCGAAUAUAUAACUCAUAACAAUAUGAACAUAAUCUCAUAAUCCAUCGGAUCCCAACAAAUCGAGCAUAGCAAUAGCAAGAGAAUUACAUAGAUGCCUUGAUCAUGUAGGACAGCUCACAAAGACUAACCAUUGAAGCAAAAGAUUGGAGAGAAGACAUCACAUAGCUACUGGUCAUGGACCCAUGGUCUAAGGAGGACUACUCAGGGCACGUCCGGGAAGCGUCCAUGGCGGUGGAGAAGCUUCCGGAGGUCAAUCCUCCCUCCGGCAGGGUACCAGGAAGAGGUCUCCCGACGCUCCCGAUCUCAAAAGCGUUGCGGCGGCAGAAUGAUGGAGAAAUUCGCAAUUCUGGAAGUUAUGGAAGGAUUUACUCUCAAGAGUCUAAAUAUAGGCCAAAGGAGGGCACCGAAGGAGGUGGGGCCCACCCAAGCGGCUUCUUGGCGCGACCAGGGGGUAGNNNNNNNNNNNNNNNNNNNNNNNNNNNNNNNNNNNNNNNNNNNNNNNNNNNNNNNNNNNNNNNNNNNNNNNNNNNNNNNNNNNNNNNNNNNNNNNNNNNNAUACAUCUUCGUCUCAGUGACCUUGGUUAUCCUUAACCCUAACUCCUUACUUGUGGUUUACUUGUGUUAUUUGAGCAUACAUACAUUGCAUAUUGCUUGUGCUCAUUAUAUUGUGUUGGCUAUUUCUUGUACAAGAUUAAUCAUUCAAGCAUACCCUCUAUAUCCACACGUUCAUACUUGCAGCCCUUGAUAUAUCGUGUGAUAUAGUGUGAUCUAGUAUCUUGUGUUGUUCACCUACUUGUCGUGUGAUAUAGCUCAAGUAAGUUUGUGUAACUUACUUGUGCUUGUUAGUAACUGUAUUGUGUCCAUCUUGGUAGAUCGUGUUGUUGAUACACGUUGCAGUGCCUAGUGCAUUUAGGAUUUGUGCUUGACAAGUACACUCUUAGUUUAUUUCCGCAUUAGUUUCAAGCCAAAUCCGAAUAAGUUUUUAAAUAGCCUAUUCACCCCCCUCUAGGCGUCAUCGAGGUCUUUUCAAUUGGUAUCAUAGCUAGGUCUCUCUUUAAUUAGGUUUAUCGACCUAGAGAGUAUCGAUGUCGACUAUUGGAUUAGUGCACAAUGGCAUCUUUGACUUUGAUGGCACAAAUUAUACCCUAUGGAGAAUUCGUAUGCUUCAUCACUUUCGGGCCAUGGGCCCAAAUACUUUACGAAUUGUUCUUGUAGGGAUUGCCGACAAAAAGGAUGAUGCAUCUUCAUCUACUAAUGAAAUGUAUCUUGAUUGUGAGGCCUUUCUUGCCAUUCAUCGAACCAUACGUCGUGAAGUGUUCAAGUCUAUCUCGACUUGCAAGUCAGCUCAUGAAGUUUGGACUAAACUUGAAGAUAUAUAUGGUGGGUCCAAUCUCUAUGAAGACGGUAUUAUGAUGAAGGAGUUGGUGCAUGAGCUCUUCACUCUUUUCGAUCUUAAAGAGUCCACCACUACUCCCAUAUCCGAUUGCUUGCACACCUCAGCAUCUUCAAUCUCACAAGGUAAUGACAUGGUGAGUGAAGAAAUAUAUGUUGAUGAAAAUGGCAUAGCCUCUAUGGACACGAGCAUAUCUAGCACCACACAUAGUGUAAAUUAUUGUGCUGAUAGGUCAUGCAUUCCACCUAAAGAUUCCUUGACAAAUGUCUGUGGUGAUAUGCCUGCUUCCUCGUAUCCUCUUGAUCAAAAUAUCUUGUUUCUCCCUAGUUGCUCUAUGACUAACCAUUUAGGGGAAAUCAAGAAAUAUGAAGUACUUUUGGCUAAUGAAGAAUCUGAUUCACCAAAAGAAUCAUCAUCAACUCCUCCAGUUCACAUGUGCCUCAUGGCAAGAGGUAAUGAUGAGGUAUCAUCUUCCCUGUGCAAUAACGAUGAUAUUUGCGAUGAGGAUGAUGAUGAUGACUUGACUGAAAAUAUCUAUGUGAUCAAUAAAAUUCUUCAUAAAGCUAAAAAUAACUCUCUUCAAAGGUUCCAAGAUGUUCUUGCUUACUUUGAAAACUGUAAUGAUUCACUUAAUCAUGAACAAGCUAAAAGUGAACAACUUGAACAUGAACUUGAGAAGAGUCAUCAAGCAUGUAGAGACUUAAGAUCUUCAAAAGGAGAGAUUGAAGUUGCUCAUGAUAAACUUAAAAGGGAUUUUGAGGUCCUUCUCCUUGAAUGCAAUAAUGUCAAGGGAGAGCUCAUCAAAACCUCUAAGAUCUAUGAGGAGCUUCAAUCUACUCAUGAGAAGUCUCUAUUUGCUACUUACUCCUCUCAUAUUGUUGAUGAUACUUGUACAUCUAACUCUACCUCUUUUGAAGUAUCAACAUUGAAGGAGAAUGUUGAGCUACGUGCUCAACUUGAUUUACUAACUAGCAAUUAUGGGAAGUUGGAAGAAAACCAUGUAAUGCUCACAAGCUCUCAUGUCGAUCUUCUAACAUCCUAUAAUGUGCAAAAGUUAGCUCAUGAGGCUAUCAUCACCAAGGUAACAUCAAGCGAGCCUCAUGUGGGCAAUGACACUACUUCUGGUCAAAGUACUAUAUUUCCAUGUGCUAGUCCUCGUAAUUCGUCUACUCAUAAUGUUGCUACCUCAUGUGAUGAAUUACUUUCCUUGCCUUGUUGCUCUAACAUUGAAGCCCACACUUCCUCUAGUACUUUCAUUGAUACUAACCGUGCAGAGGAAAUCAAAGAGCUCAAGGCCCAAGUCACUUCUUUGAAUAAAGACUUGGAACAGUGUCAUGAAGGGAUGCCCACACUCAACAACGUCCUGUGUGAGCAAACAUCUCCGAAUGACAAAAAUGAGUUUGGAGUAAACUCAAACAAGAACAAGAGGGGCCUAGAACAAGUCAAGAAUUCGGCCAAAAUCAUUUGCUUCAAGUGCAAAGUUAAAGGGCACCAUGUUAGAUCUUGCCCUCUGAAGACGAAGUCUCAAAGUCACAAGCAACAAGGGAAGCGGCCACAGACUCAAUCACAUAUUCAACUACAAGUUGAAGGAAGGCCUCUUCCAAUAAGACCCAAACCAACACUCCCCAAGGUGAGAAAUCAACUGGGAAGAAAGCAAAGGGUAGAUGUUGCUACUUAUGUCGUGAGAAAGGUCACGUUGCUUCGUCUUGCACAAGAGGUAACUUAUCCAACCCAAUCACUAUUGAUGAUAUCUAUUCCCUUGGGAAGGAUAAGGUUGGCAAUGUGUUUGCCAAGUUUGUUGGUACUCAAAAUGGUGUCAAGAAAAGAACCAUUUGGGUUGCCAAGCCUAUUGUGAUUAACCUCUUAGGACCCAACGUAGUUGGGGACCAACAAGCUCAAACUUGAUCAAUAGGUGACUAUGGAGGACAUUAGAGACUUGGAUACAUAAUGAAGAAUUAAGGGGUCUUCAUCAUUCAUAUUAUCUCAAGCCAAGUCAUUCAGAUUAUCGAGUUUCUAUCUUAUAUCCAAUGUGCCUCCUUACGGUAACUUAUACUUAAACUGUUUACAUUGUUAGGUGCUUGCCCCCUUUUGCAUGUUGUGGUUUUGUACCUUGCAUGCGUUUGUAUAUGUUGUGCUUUCAACUUGCUUAUCUUGAGUAAUCAAGUAUGUGUUGCUUUGCACAUCAUGUACAUGUGAGUCUUGUAUUGAGCCUAUUUGCAUCUUGUCUGUAUUUUUGUUGGCUCUUGUGAGAGAUUAAUGGAUUAUCCCAUUGUGGGGGAGUGAUGUGCUUUGCACACCUCUCAAUCCUAUAAAUGUGUAUACAUGGGGAAUACCACUUAGUUUUGAUAUUUCAAGAUUAUCUAGUUUCUAUGUGGUAUGUCUUACUCAUGAGAAAUUCAAAUUCCAUAUGGUCCAUUAAUUAUCUCUUGUUGGUUUCAAUUUGCCACUUGUUAAUAUUGUUGGUUAUCACAUUAUGGGGGAGUAAUAUGCUAUGUGCAUAUUACAAACCUAGAAAAUGUGUACAUUUGAGGUGUUGCCACUUAGUGUUGAUAUUGUAAAUUAUCCUGUUCCUAGGUGGCAUAUUAGCUCUACAAGUGUCAUUUGCUUGCGUUUUAUGGGUAAAGAUGAUCUUGGAUAUAUUUGUGAUCUACUAAUGAGUAUCAUUUCAAAAAUACUUCUUGUCCUUGACAAUUGGUAUUCCCAUCAUGUGAUUGGAAUUGAUAAUCAUCUUUACACUGUAUUUUGUGUUUCGUUUGUCUUUCUUGCCUCUUAUGAAUCUAUUUUUUAACAUGUCUAGUGUGGUUAUAGAUAUAGAGAAAGUGAUGAUCCCAUCGUGUGCGUUUUGUAUUCAAAUGCAAAUUCUAUAUAAUGCACGUCCCUUGGGGGAGCUAUCCUAUUCUCUUUAGAACACUCUCUUUAUUCACCCAUCAUAAAAUCAUUUGAUCCCCAUCAAGUGUGUGUUGAUGGGAGGCAAGUCUUGCUCUUUAUGAUGCUUUGUGCCAUCAUGAAAAAUUGUAGAGGGCUUUGUUUGUUGGAACCUAGCUCUCUCUUGGAAACUAGAUACCUCAUGUUUGUUUUCCUUCAAUUGGUUUCUUGUUGCCUUCUAAUUGGCAUGUGUCAAUGGAUAUAUCAUUCCUUGAGGUAUCUUUUAAUUGAUAUCCUUCAAGUGAUAGUUCUUUUUGUUUUAGGAUCUUAUUAUCACUUGAUACCUUGUCUUUUGGUGACUAAUCAACUUUGUGUUGAGUUGAUUCUUAAGAGUCUUGAGCAUGCGUAUCAUAUCUACUAUAUACAACUUCUUUUGCUUGCUUUCCUUCUUUGACCCAAUAUAUAGGGGGAAUUCCACCUUGUCAUAAAUUGGCUAAAGUGUGCAUGAAAUUCAAAUUCAUAUCUAUAUGCACAUAUGUAUGUGGAGUUUGUCCUAUGUAUUGCUGGUUUUCUAACUCUUUGGUCCCAAUGAGUUUGGGCACCAUUUUGUUUGCUUUGUUGUUCCAAGAACAACUGGAGAUGCAUUGGAUGCUCGGCUCACCUAUAAGGAAGCUGUUGAGACCAUGUGAUUAUUGGAGCCAAGUUAGGAUGAUCAAAGAACAACCAUCUACUACAUCAAUCCAAUGUUGUCUCGGUAACAAGUAUCCACUUCAUGCAUUCUUUUCUUGCAAAGGACCCAACCUGUCUUUUCUUUUCCAGGUUGCAUCAUGGCAUGAAUCUCUUGAUUUGUUCUGGUAGUACUUGUUUGCUUUCUCAAAGCAUCCGAACGAUGAUGUCUUACUGCUAGUUGGGAUGUCUUUGAUGUUCGUAUGUUGGAAGUUCAUAUUAUACAAUAAGAAAACAUUAGGCCAUGUGCUAUGCUUCCAAGCAAAAGAUCUCAUUGAUAUAUUUAUGACUUCCCUUUUUGGAUAUCUAGUGUUCUUCCUUCUUGUAACCAUUUCGUGUGUACAUCCUUCUUUGUGGAUAUAUAUAUCAUCAUGAUUGUCUUCUACUUAGAAUCUUGGUCACAUGAGAGAAGUUACAUCUCUAAUUGAUAUCCUCUUUUCUUUCACGUCCAUCGCUGCAUUUCCUUUUUCGUUUUUGGUGGCAACGUGAAAGGAUUUGUUUUGAGUGCGUAUCUUAUUUUCCUACAUCUUGGUGCACUCUUUGGCCGUGAAGAUUAUUUUUCCUCAUGCUUGUCUUGAUGAGGGUUUUGCCAUUUUCAAUUAGUAUCCCUCCUCUUGACAAGAUUCUUACUUCCUAUCUUCACAAUGGGUUGUCACAAGCGUUGGUUCCUAUUUUAUUUAUUAGUAAGCUUGUGAACCCAUUUUCUAGUAUGUGUGUGUGGUAAUGAUAUGUCUUGCACUUUGUAUCUCAUAUUCAUCAAGACUAUGUUGAUGAGCAAUGCUCAUCCUUAUCUUAAGUCUUCUCAAGUGCUUUGCCAUGACUCACACACAUUACUUUGGUUGAGCUUAUUCUUAAGUUGCUUCCUUUACAUGUUGCUCAACCAUUAGUUUUGUGCAAUUGAUAUGCCUAUUGUCUCAUCUAUCUUCUUGCACUCGUUGUGUGUUUCUAUUAAUUCUGGGGGAGCAACGAUCCUAUUUUGUGCACCUGUGUCAAAUACAAUAAUAUCAUAUUAGUAAACAAAUCAUGGGGAGCUUCUCUAGUUUUUGAUAAAGCACUAUGUUGCCUUUAUCAUAAUAUCUUUUAUUUAUGUGGUUCGAAGGACCAUAUGAUUGUUUGUUCCAUCUGUAAUCCUUUGAUUGCCUGCCUCUAUCUUUGUAUGUCUUUGUGGCAUAUGAUUCUUUUUGCAAUUUUUGGUCCUUAAUAUAGUUUGUUUUCCUCCAACUACUUAUCAUUGUAUUUGUAUAUUUUUCUGCACUCAUUUGCUGAGAAGUACACAUUUUUUGGAGGACCAACUACUGUAUUUGCCUUCUAAACUGUUCGUCCAUUUUGGCAAUUGAUGCCAAUGGGGGAGAAGUUUAGAGAGUUUAUUUUGGAUAUGUUUAGAGGGUUUUGCUUUUAUUGCGUAAGCAUUUACAUCUUGCUCACAUGCAUUCAGCAUUUACAUCUUGCUCACAUGCAUUAUUACCUUGUAUGUGUGCGCUUGGUUAUGCUUAUUUCCUUAUAUGAACUCUCUUGAAGUGGUUGUCUUCAAUUACCAAAAUGGGGGAGAUUGUUAGAGCAUAUAUCUCCAUAUGUGGUUUUGGUAAUUGAUGACAAUUCCUAUGGACUAAUGGUUGCCUUAAGUUAUAUUUAUAGGAUUUGUCCAUAGGCACUUCUUGAAGUCCAUCUGUUGGGUUCAAGGAGUUUAUAUGUUGACCAAGAUGUUAUUCAAGUUAUUAUCCAAAGAAUGGUCAUAGAAACACUAGGUUGAUCAAGAUCUCAGACAAAGAGUAAAUCAAGAUGAUCAACACACAAAGCGUAUAAGAUGUACCGAGAGGGAUAAGUGAUCCCAUGGUAUGGUAAGCAUUGUCCAUUACGUGUUUGUGUACUAAUCCAUGGUCUUUGUGAGACUCCUAUGUGGGGGUUAGGUGUGUUUCCAUUGGGCUUGCGUCAAAAGGAAAAUCUCAUACAACCCAUGAAGGAUGACGUCAAGUGGUGAUCGUCAUCAAGAUUGUGGUGUGCAAGUUCAAGUGGAUCAGUACGAAUAUAUCACUGAAACUAUUGUCAAUGAUCAUGUGCUAACAAGGACAAGAUCAAGAUAAGCAUUUCUGAGCACUACAUGCUUGAUUCUUGUGGAUGUUCACAUGGUGGAUAGGACAAGAUCAAGAUAAGCAUUCUUGAGCACUACAUGCUUGAUUCUUGUGGAUGUUCACACAUGGUGGACAAAUGAAGAUAAAUACAUAAGCUAGGCUUUCCGCAUUGUGUAUGGGAAAGCUACUUGAAGACUUCAUCAUGUCUUGCUUUCAACUAGAGCCAAGAAGGAACAACAACAUCAAGCUCAGGUGAAAGGGCUAACUCAAAGGUAUCAGUUCCUUUGACGUUAGUUGUGCGGAGUGAUGAUCAGCGAAUAAAAGUAUACACUCAAGCAUGGAUCAUCAGUACUCUUUUAUGAUUCUUGAGUCCUUAGGGAUCCCGCACUAUUAAGAGGGGAUCACAGGUUUUGCGAUGAACUUGCUCAAACUACAUCAUCACUUUCUGCUCAGACCACAUCUCCACUGUUUUGUUGUUAUCUCAAAACAGAACCAGUGCCUCAGACAUCCGGCUUUCUCCGGACGUCCGAGGACCGGACAACUGACUCGUUUGGAAAUCCGGAAUCCUAUACCACAGAAAUCAGAGCCAUAUAACUCGGACUUCCGGCUACCUCCGGACGUCCGAGGCCCGGAUGUCCGGCCAAGUCCCGGAAAUCCGGAAGCCUGCACCAGUAGAAGUUGAGUUCUAUAUCUCGGAAAUCCGGCUCCCUCCGGACGACCGAGCGCCGGACGUCCAACACCCGUCGGAAAUCCGGAACCUACCACCAGUAGAAGUUGAGCUGUAUAACACGGACUUUCGGGCCACUCCGGACGUCCGUAUGCUGAUGAAUUCAAAUAUGUUCAGGCACAUCUACAGGCCUCGGACGACCGACCCCUGUCGGACGUCCGGCCGCUGAUGAAUUUAGAAGAGUUCCAGUCAUGCCUAAAAGUCUCGGACGUCCGACCCCGGUCGGACGUCCGGCCCCUCACGGACGCCCGGACUUCCGACAACUGUCGGACGUCCGGACCCUGUGUGACUUAAAGUGUCCCCAACGGCUCUUUUUCUCCCCACACUAUAAAUACCCCCUCCCACUUCGUGAGAGGGUUGCCUAACACAGCCUUAUCCUCAUAAGAACACAUUUCCACCUCACACACAUUUGCUCACUCCAAAUCUUAGAUCCCAAGAGCAUUUGUGAGCCCCUUUGAGAGUUGUUCCAAUCAAAAGAUAGAUCUUCUCCCUCUCCUUCUCUCAACCCAAGCUAUUUGUGAUUUGAGCAAGUUUUGAGCAUUCCCCGUGAUCUUGUUACUCUUGGAGGUUGAAGACUCCUAGGCGGUAGGAGUUCUUCGGAGAGGAAUCAAUUGAUGUGAUUUCCCCCGGAAAAGUUUGUGAGGGUUUGGAAGCCACCUCAAAGGCUUACCACUAGUGAUUGAGAAACGCCUUCAUGGUGUUAUCUCAAAGGGAGAAUAGGGUGAGCCUUCGUGGCGUUGGUGUGCCUUCGUGGUAACAUCCACCUCUCUAACGAUGACUAGCUUCCCUCCAAGGAAGUGAACAUCGGGAUACAUCUUCGUCUCAGUGACCUUGGUUAUCCUUAACCCUAACUCCUUACUUGUGGUUUACUUGUGUUAUUUGAGCAUACAUACAUACAUUGCAUAUUGCUUGUGCUCAUUAUAUUGUGUUGGCUAUUUCUUGUACAAGAUUAAUCAUUCAAGCAUACCCUCUAUAUCCACACGUUCAUACUUGCAGCCCUUGAUAUAUCGUGUGAUAUAGUGUGAUCUAGUAUCUUGUGUUGUUCACCUACUUGUCGUGUGAUAUAGCUCAAGUAAGUUUGUGUAACUUACUUGUGCUUGUUAGUAACUGUAUUGUGUCCAUCUUGGUAGAUUGUGUUGUUGAUACACGUUGCAGUGCCUAGUGCAUUUAGGAUUUGUGCUUGACAAGUACACUCUUAGUUUAUUUCCGCAUUAGUUUCAAGCCAAAUCUGAAGAAGUUUCUAAAUAGCCUAUUCACCCCCCCUCUAGGCGUCAUCGAGGUCUUUUCACUAUCUUGCUAUUCUUUCCUCUUUUUUCUAUCCGGAGUGUUGAAGAUAUUUCAGAAGUCCUGAUUUUCGAUGCUUCAAUUAUUUCGAGGUUCUCAACCUCAUCUAGUUCUCUUCAUACCGGUGCAAUCUCUUUAUCUAUUCAAUUGUUUUCAACGGUGGUUUCUUUGAGUGGGCCCAUGGCCCACAAGUUUUUCCCAAGAUCUUAUCUUCCUCUUGUACUCUUUCCCGGAGAUCAUUAAUUCUUUUCGAUUACGACAUAAGUAUGAAUUUCAUCAGUCAUAUCCCUUCUUCAAGAUCAAUUUGAAUUAAUUCUCAUAUUUGGCUCAACCUUGCAUUCUUCUUUAUUUCGUAGUGUCUCAGACAUUCUUGGUGGUGUUCUUCUCGUCAUUCUCUCCAUUGGAGAUUGAAGGAGUGUUUAUCUCAUAUCUUGGUGCCAUCAUCUUAAUUGUUCCCAAUCAUGAGUGGUUCAUUUCUUGCUAUCCGGUGCAUCUCUGGAUUGUUUCAUUCUUGAUCCUCCGAAGGCCAUAAUUUUAGAAGAUUCUUCGUUCUCAGCUUUCAGCUUUCGUCCUCAAUUCUUCUCAAUUGUUGUCUCUUCGUUCAUCUCUCUAUUAUUCUGGUGCCUUGUUCAAGUUUUCUGUUAGGUGGCUCAUGAUCUCUUCAUUAUCUUGUAUCUCCAUUAAUUCGUGGUGUUCCCAUUCAAUUGUGAAUUCUUACCGGUGAUCCCUUCAAUUAUGCCUCAAGCGGUGCUUAUCUCUCUGUCUCUUCAAGAUUCUUUCAAUAGGAAUAAGUUGUGUGUUUAAUCCGUUGUUUGUCUUCAAUUUAAUUUGAUGAAGGAUGAGCAUACCAUAAUUCUUAUUCUUGUUGCAUCAAGUGAUCCCAAUUCUUCGUCCGGAGUGGCUCAUGAUAUCAAUUCCUAUUUCUCAAGUGUUUUUAUCUUUUCGUCUUCGGAGUUCCAAGUUUUCUCAAGUAUCUUUCCGUGAAGCUUCAUCGAAGUCUUUGCAAGGCUUCAAUCUUAUUCUUUCAUCCUUCAUAUCUUGCAUCAUCCAUUUGAUACGAGGCUCGUCAUGGUGGUUCUUCAAGGAUGUGAUUUUUUUCCUCAAAGUGUUCUUCAAGAUUCCUGUUGGAGUACCUUGAUACGUCCAUUUUGCAUCAUGUUUUCAUGUUGAUAUUUAUCGCUUCUUUGGCUGUUAUUUCACUUCACGGUACUAUUCUUAUGCCUUUUCUCUCUUAUUUUGCAAGGUUUACAUGAAGAGGGAGAAUACCGGUAACUGGAAUUCUGGCCUGAAAGUGGAGCAAAGUUGAGAUACCUAUUCUGCGCAACUCCAAACGCCGUGAAAAUCAACGGAGAUUUUUUUCCCAAUUUAUAAAAAAUACUGGGCCAAAGAAGUGCCAGAGGGGCGCCAGGGGGUGGCCACAAGCCUGCAUGAUGCGACCACCCCCCCAGGUCGCGCCAUGGGGGCUUGUGGGCACCCUGCUGGCCCACUGGCCCCCUCUUUUGCUAUAUGGAGGGUUUCGUGCAGGAAAAAAUCAGAAGGGGGCUUUUUCGUGGUUUCACCGCUGCCACGAGGCGGAACUUGAGCAGAACCAAUCUAGAGCUCCGGCAGGAUGAUCCUGCCGGGGAAACUUCCCUCCCGGAGGGGGAAAUCGUCGCCAUCGUCAUCACCAACACUCCUCUCAUCGGAGGGGACUCGUCACCAUCAACAUCUUCAUCAGCACCAUCUCAUCUCCAAACCCUAGUUCAUCUCUUGUAACCAAUCUCCAUCUUGCGACUCCGAUUGGUACUUGUAAGGUUGCUAGUAGUGUUGAUUACUCUUUGUAGUUGAUGCUAGUUGGAUUACUUGGUGGAAGAGUUUAUGUUCAGAUCCUUGAUUCUACUCAUUACACCUCUGAUCAUGAUUAUGAUUAUGCUUUGUGAGUAGUUACUUUUGUUCCUGGGGACAUGGGAUAAGUCAUGCUAAUAAUAGUCAUGUGAAUUUGGUAUUCGUUCGGUAUUUUGAUAUGUUGUAUGUUGUUUUUCCUCUAGUGGUGUUAUGUGAACGUCGACUACAUAACACUUCACCAUUAUUUGGGCCUAGAGGAAGGCAUUGGUAAGUAGUAAAUAGAUGAUGGGUUGCUAGAGUGACAGGAGCUUAAACCCUAGUUUAUGUGUUGCUUCGUAAGGGCCUGAUUUGGAUCCACUAGUUUAAUGCUAUGGUUAGACUUUGUCUUAAUUCUUCUUUCGUAGUUGCGGAUGCUUGCGAGAGGGGUUAAUCAUAAGUGGGAUGCUUGUCCAAGUAAGGGCAGUAUCCAAGCGCCGGUCCACCCACAUAUCAAACUAUCAAAGUAACGAACGUGAAUCAUACGAACAUGAUGAAACUAGCAUGACAGAAAUUCCCGUGUGUCCUCGGGAGCGUUUUUCCUCCUAUAAGACUUUGUACAGGCUUGUCCCUUGCUACAAAAGGGAUUGGGGCACUUUGCUGCACUGUUGCUACUUUUGUUACUUGUUGCUUGCUACGAAUCAUCUCACCACACAAUUACUUGCUACCGAUAAUUUCAGUGCUUGCAGAUAUUUCCUUGUUGAAAACCACUUGUCAGAUCCUUCUGCUCCUCGUUGGGUUCGACACUCUUACUUAUCAAAAGGACUACGACUGAUCCCCUAUACUUGUGGGUCAUCAAGACUCUUUUCUGGCACCGUUGCCGGGGAGUGAAGCGCCUUUGGUAAGUGGAACUUGGUAAGGAAACAUUCAUAUAGUGUGCUGAAAUUUAUUGUCACUUGUCACUAUGGAUACUAAUCCUUUGAGGGGCUUGUUCAGGGUAUCUUCACCUCAAACGGAAGCACAAAGAGUUGCUCCUCAACCUGCCGCACCUACUGAAAUUUUUUGCUUUGAAUUUCCUUUGGGUAUGCUUGAGAAACUGCUGGCUAAUCCUUUUACAGGAGAUGGAACAUCACAUCCAGACUUGCAUCUGAUCUAUGUGGAUGAAGUUUGUGGUUUAUUUAAGCUUGCAGGUGUGCCCGAGGAUGAGGUCAAGAAGAAGGUCUUUCCUUUAUCUUUGAAGGAUAAGGCGUUGACAUGGCAUAGGCUAUGUGAUGAUACUGGAUCACGGGACUACAAUUGGUUGAAAUUGGAAUUUCAUCAAAAGUUUUAUCCUAUGCAUUUAGUACAUCGUGAUCGGAAAUUAUAUUUAUAAUUUUUGGCCUCGUGACAGAGAAAGCAUCGCUCAAGCGUGGGGGAGGCUUAAAUCAAUGCUAUAUUCAUGCCCCAAUCAUGAGCUCUCGAGAGAAAUUAUCAUUCAGAACUUCUAUGCUCGACUUUCUCAUGAUGAUCGCAUCAUGCUUGACACUUCUUGUACCGGUUCUUUUAUGAAGAGAGAUAUUGACUUCAAACGGAAUUUAUUGGAGAGAAUUAAACGCAACUCUGAAGAUUGGGAGCUUGAAGAAGGUAAGGAGUCAGGUAUGAAUUUCACUUUUGAUUGCGUUAAAUCCUUUGUUGAGAUAAAUACUUUUUGUGACUUUAGCGCUAAGUAUGGACUUGACUCUGAGAUAGUAGCUUCAUUGUGUGAAUCCUUUGCUGCCCAUAUUGAUCUCCCCAAAGAGAAGUGGUUUAAAUAUCAUCCUCCGUUAGAAGUCAAUGUAGUUAAACCCACUCCAGUUGAAGAGAAAGUCAUUGCCUAUAAUGAUCCUGUGGUUCCCAGUGCUUACAUUGAGAAACCACCUUUCCCUGUUAGGAUAAAGGAUCAUUCUAAAGCUUCAACUGUCAUACGUAGAGGCUAUAUUAGAACACCUACACCCCCUGAGCAAAAUAGAGUUGAACCUAGCAUUGCUAUUAUCAAAGAUCUUCUGUCUAAAGAAGUUGAGGGACAUAAUAUUCACUUUUGUGAAGAUGCUGCUAUAAUUGCUAAACCUCACGUUAGAGACAAACAUAGGCCUGUUGUUGGCAUGCGUGUGGUUUCUGUUAAGAUAGGAGAUCAUUGUUAUCAUGGUUUAUGUGACUUGGGUGCUAGUGUUAGUGGAAUACCUCAAUCCUUAUACGAUGAAGUCAAAGAUGAGAUUGCACCUUUUGAGAUAGAACCCAUUGAUGUCACUAUUGACCUUGCCAAUAGAGAUACUAUGUGCCCUGUGGGAAUUGUUAGGGAUGUUGAAGUCUUGUGUGGUAAAACGAAGUAUCCUGCUGAUUUCCUCGUUCUUGCUACUGCACAAGAUAGCUUUUGUCCCAUCAUAUUUGGCAGACCUUUUCUCAAUACCGUCAAUGCUCAUAUUGACUAUGAGAAGCAAACUAUCACUGUUGGCUUUGAAGGUGUGUCACACGAGUUCAAUUUCUCUAAGUUUGGUAGACAACCUCAUGAAAAGGAGUUGCCUAGUAGGGAUGAAACUAUUGCCUUAGCUUCUAUUGCCGUGCCUCCUACUGAUCCCUUAGAGCAAUACUUGCUUGAGCAUGAAAAUGAUAUGCAUAUGGAUGAAAGGGAUGAGAUAGAUAGAGUUGUCUUAGAACAAUAUCAUAUCCUUAAGAAUAACUUGCAUGUUGAACUGCUUGGGGAUCCACCCCCACCAAAGGGUGAUCCUAUGUUCGAGCUUAAACAGUUGCCUGAUACUCUUAAGUAUGCCUAUCUUGAUGAAAAGGAGAUAUAUCCUAUUAUUAUUAGUGCUAGCCUCUCAGAGCAGGAAGAAAAGAAGUUACUAAAAACUCUGAGGAAGCACCGUGCUGCUAUAGGAUAUACUCUUGAUGAUCUUAAGGGCAUUAGUCCCACUCUAUGCCAGCACAAGAUCAAAACUGAUCCUGAAUUCAAACCAGUUGCUGAUCAUCAAAGGAGAUUGAAUCCUAAGAUGAAAGAAGUAGUGAGAAAAGAAAUACUAAAGCUCCUGGAAGUGGGUAUUAUCUAUAGCGUUGCUCACAACGAUUGGGUGAGUCCGGUGCAUUGCGUUCCUAAGAAGGGAUGCAUCACCGUUGUCCCUAAUGAUAAGGAUGAGUUGAUCCCACAAAGGAUUAUUACUGGCUAUAGGAUGGUGAUUGAUUUUAGGAAGUUGAGUAAGGCCACUAGGAAAGAUCAUUACCCUUUGUCUUUUAUCGACCAAAUGCUAGAAAGACUAUCCAAACACACACACUUCUGCUUUCUAGACGGUUAUUCUGGUUUCUCCCAAAUACCAGUUGCACAAUCUGAUCAGGAGAAAACCACUUUCACCUGCCCUUUUGGUACCUUUGCUUGUAGACGUAUGCCUUUUGGCUUGUGUAAUGCACCUGCCACCUUUGAAAGAUGUACGAUGGCUAUAUUCUCUGACUUUUGUGAAAAGAUUUUCGAGGUUUUCAUGGAUGACUUCUCCGUUUACGGGUCUUCCUUUGAUAAUUGCCUCAGCAACCUUGAUCGAGUCUUGCAGAGAUGUAAAGACACCAAUCUUGUCUUGAAUUGGGAGAAGUGCCACUUUAUGGUUAAUGAAGGCAUCGUCUUAGGACGUAAAAUUUCUGAAAGAGGUAUUGAACUUGGAGGUAAGUAUCGAUGAAUUAUUAUUGUUGACAUUACCCUUGAGGUAAGCAGUUGGGAGGCAAAACUAUAAGCCCCUAUCUUUCUUUGUGUCCAGCUGAAACUUUGAUCUCAUGAGUACCACGUGAGUUGUAGCAAUUGUAGAGAACGAAAGAAUGAUUGAGUAUGUGGAUUUGCUUUACAAGCUCUUAUUUGACUCUUUCUGAUGUUGUGAUAAAUUGCAAUUGCUUCAAUGACUAAAGGCUAUCGGUUGUUACUCCUCGGUAAGGUUCUUGAUCCAUGCUUUACUUUGUGAAGGAAUUAUCACUUCAACAUGAGAGUUUAUAUGUUGGUAUUGCUGUUCUGAUCUUGAUCAUGAUGCAUGCAUGUUUGUAUCUUGUUUUGUCGACACCUCUCUCCCUAAACAUGUGGACAUAUUUAUUGAGCUAGGCUUUCGCUUGAGGACAAGCGAGGUCUAAGCUUGGGGGAGUUGAUAAGUCCAUUUUGCAUCAUGUUUUCAUGUUGAUAUUUAUCGCUUCUUUGGCUGUCAUUUCACUUCACGAUACUAUUCUUAUGCCUUUUCUCUCUUAUUUUGCAAGGUUUACAUGAAGAGGGAGAAUACCGACAACUGGAAUUCUGGCCUGAAAGUGAAGCAAAGUUGAGAUACCUAUUCUGCGCAACUCCAAACGCCGUGAAAAUCAACGGAGAUUUUUUUCCCAAUUUAUAAAAAAUACUAGGCCGAAGAAGUGCCAGAGGGGCGCCAGGGGGUGUCCACAAGCCUGCACGGCGUGGCCACCCCCCAGGCCGCGCCAUGGGGGCUUGUGGGCACCCUGUUGGCCCACUAGGCCCCUUCUUUUGCUAUAUGGAGGGUUUCGUCCAGGAAAAAAAUCAGAAGGGAGCUUUUUCGUGGUUUCUCCGCCGCCACGAGGCGGAACUUGAGCAGAACCAAUCUAGAGCUCCGGCAGGACGAUCCUGCCGGGGAAACUUCCCUCCCGGAGGGGGAAAUCGUCGCCAUCGUCAUCACCAACACUCCUCUCAUCGGAGGGGACUCGUCACCAUCAACAUCUUCAUCAACACCAUCUCAUCUCCAAACCCUAGUUCAUCUUGUAACCAAUCUCCAUCUCGCGACUCCGAUUGGUACUUGUAAGGUUGCUAGUAGUGUUGAUUACUCUUUGUAGUUGAUGCUAGUUGGAUUACUUGGUGGAAGAGUUUAUGUUCAGAUCCUUGAUGCUACUCAUUACACCUCUGAUCAUGAUUAUGAUUAUGCUUUGUGAGUAGUUACUUUUGUUCCUGAGGACAUGGGAUAAGUCAUGCUAAUAAUAGUCAUGUGAAUUUGGUAUUCGUUCGGUAUUUUGAUAUGUUGUAUGUUGUUUUUCCUCUAGUGGUGUUAUGUGAACGUCGACUACAUAACACUUCACCAUUAUUUGGGCCUAGAGGAAGGCAUUGGGAAGUAGUAAAUAGAUGAUGGGUUGCUAGAGUGACAGAAGCUUAAACCCUAGUUUAUGCGUUGCUUCGUAAGGGGCUGAUUUGGAUCCACUAGUUUAAUGCUAUGGUUAGACUUUGUCUUAAUUCUUCUUUCGUUGUUGCGGAUGCUUGCGAGAGGGGUUAAUCAUAAGUGGGAUGCUUGUCCAAGUAAGGGCAGUAUCCAAGCGCCGGUCCACCCACAUAUCAAACUAUCAAAGUAACGAACGUGAAUCAUAUGAACAUGAUGAAACUAGCAUGACAGAAAUCCCUGUGUGUCCUCAGGAGCGUUUUUCCUCCUGUAAGACUUUGUACAGGCUUGUCCCUUGCUACAAAAGGGAUUGGGGCACUUUGCUGCACUGUUGCUACUUUUGUUACUUGUUGCUUGCUACGAAUCAUCUCACCACACGAUCACUUGUUACCGAUAAUUUCAGUGCUUGCAGAUAUUUCCUUGCUGAAAACCACUUGUCAGAUCCUUCUGCUCCUCAUUGGGUUGGACACUCUUACUUAUCGAAAGGACUACGAUUGAUCCCCUAUACUUGUGGGUCAUCAUAGCUCAAGUAUUCUUUCUCUUGCAUUUCCAAUGCGUUGUUCUCCUUUAUCCUUUGAGGUGGUAUUAUAGCAUUCUUGUUGGUGGAGGAGUCACGAAGAGAAGUUGUUUCAAAAAUUAAAUAUGUAAACCCACCAAUUCUUUGAUCAUGUGUUAUUUUUCAACCCGUGAUUUCUUCAUUGAGCUAUCUUGGUUUGGAUUUCACCUAAAGCUUUUCCUAAGGAUUGUUGCUAUUAUGGUGAUUAUCAUUGAUCCGAGUUCUCAAUGUAUGCUCUAGCUAAAAGAAGUUUUCCUUCUCUUGGUUCUCCCAAUCAAUCUUUGUUUCCGUUAGUGGCUGGUUGUCAACUCUUUGUUAGAGAUGGUUUUCAUAAGUCCACUACAAGCUUGCAUGCNNNNNNNNNNNNNNNNNNNNNNNNNNNNNNNNNNNNNNNNNNNNNNNNNNNNNNNNNNNNNNNNNNNNNNNNNNNNNNNNNNNNNNNNNNNNNNNNNNNNCUUUACACGUGGAACUGGAUUUAUGCACCGGGCUUUCCAGGGUAUGAUGCUAUUUAUGAUUCAGUGCUACAUAAUGGUUGAAGUCUGUAACUCACACAUGUUGUUUGUAGAUAAAUAGUAGGCUACAUAGUGAUGUCAUGAAUUCAUAGACUUAAGUGCAUAGGAAUGAUCAAAAUCAGAAUUUUCAUCUUCCCAGUGUAGAGGCAAUUUAUGUAAUCAUCUGUGCAGACUUUGCUGUUAGUGCUGUUAGUCCUUGAUUUUCAGUCAACUGCAUAAGUCAAAGGACCGCAGCCAGUUCUAAAAGUGUUAUUACCACCUUGUGCUGUUUACCUUAGCUAGAUGUCAACAAUAUUUUUGUUAUGGCAUAGCUUCAAAGACUUAGCCAUGGACAGGGGUGCGUGGAAGUUAGCUAUCCACGUUCCAGAGCCAUGACUUGGUUUCGAGAUCUUAUGGGUUUCAACUCUAGCCUACCCCAACUUGUUUGGGACUGAAAGGCUUGGUUGUUGUUGUUGCAUAGCUUCAAUUUUCAGGCUAUGGAUGUGCACACAGUUGCCACAGACCAUCAAAAUAAAAUUUAUGCUAUGUCACAAGAAGAUUAGUGUCUUGCUGCAUCAAAAUGCACGUAGUUUGUUUGCCUUGCAUGCCUAGCUAGAUUUCAGGAAUUCUUGACCUAUGAUUUCACAAUAAAUUUGUUAUUUAACUGAUGUUUUUUUAAUGCAGCAUAUGCUAAAUACAGAGGUCCACUGGGCACUGUUAGAAAAGGAGUUACUGGUAAAUCAAAUUUCAGCACCUUCAUAAUCUUAUAUUCUUACAUUACUCUUAUUUGCUUAUCUUAUACGUAAAUCAUAUUUUACAUUGCAAUAAGGUAUUAAUACUGAUGUUCAUUUUUAGCAAAGAAGCAUGCAUAUCUUAAUAUCUUAAUUAAAUAGAAACAGUACUUUGAACAGUACAUAUGUGCUGCUGAACUCUGCAAGUGGAAGUUGAUUUUUCUCCAUGUUCAUAUAUAGNNNNNNNNNNNNNNNNNNNNNNNNNNNNNNNNNNNNNNNNNNNNNNNNNNNNNNNNNNNNNNNNNNNNNNNNNNNNNNNNNNNNNNNNNNNNNNNNNNNNUAAUCGGAAAGAAGGGAGUACUGUGAUUUGUAGUCUACUCAUUUUGACCCAAAUAUAACAAAAGGAGACCCAUUUUGAUUUAUGUAUUUAUAUAUUCUAAUCCGCUACAUAUGACAAUGAAAUAAACAUCAACGACAAUUCAUAAGUGCACACUACACAUGUGUAUGUGUAUAUUAAUUUUCAGAAUUUUUGGAGGUAUAGCAAAAAAAUUWGAAAAAUAAAGGGCUCAGUGGAGCCCCUCCUCCAAAUCUCAUUUUCAGCAUAGAUUAUGGCCAUUUUGAAGCUCCCUUUUUCUUAGCAAUUUGUAAUUCAAAAUUUAGAAGCAUACAGCUAGUGCCCACUACUCCGUCACCUCAACUUACAAAGCAUAGUUCCACGAAACCACUCGCUCGCCCAUGACUUAUGGGGUCUGAAAGACUUGGGCUCCUUCCAAGGUCUAUCUUUUUGCCUGACUUGCUAUUCAAACCGGAUUUGGACUGCCGAUAAGCUCAAGAGGCACGGUUGGNNNNNNNNNNNNNNNNNNNNNNNNNNNNNNNNNNNNNNNNNNNNNNNNNNNNNNNNNNNNNNNNNNNNNNNNNNNNNNNNNNNNNNNNNNNNNNNNNNNNAAUGUGCUCGGAUCACUUCCGCAGCCUUUUUAAAAUAUAAACUGUUUUGGCAGUUUAAAACAUGUGGAUCUAUAAUAUACUCCCUUAGUCACAAAUUACUUGUCUUAUAUUUGUUCACAUAUGGAUGUAUUUAGACAUAUGUUAAUGUUAGAUACAUCCGUAGAUGUAUCUAGACAAACCCAAGACAAGUAAUUUGGAACAUCGAUAAUAUGCGUUGUACUUACUACAACCUCUAGGAGUAAUGACUUAAAAAAUAACUUAUACUUCAUUCGUUUCAAAAAGUUGUUUUAGAUUUGUCUAGAUAUGAAUGUAUUUAAUCAUGUUUUAGUAUUUAGAUACAUUCAUUUUUAGACAAAUUUAAAAUAAGAAUUUUAAGACGAAGGGAGUAUAAGUUGGGAGUAUUGUUCAGAUACACGAUGGAUCUACUUAACUGACCUAAAACGUCUUCCAUUUGUUGCAUCAAAAAWAUCUUGAUAACAAAUUAUAGGAUCACACUUUGAUUUUCCUUUUGUGAAACUUCGGUUUAUUUAUUUUAAAAAUUUUGAGAUCCGAUGGACAGGAGCCUAUGCGCCUAUCUAUACGGUCCUUUUGCCGUAGGUGCCAACAUGCCUCGGCAAAUUUAUGUGCUCCCUCGGUUCCUAAAUAUCAGUCUUUUUUAGAUGUNNNNNNNNNNNNNNNNNNNNNNNNNNNNNNNNNNNNNNNNNNNNNNNNNNNNNNNNNNNNNNNNNNNNNNNNNNNNNNNNNNNNNNNNNNNNNNNNNNNNUUGUGCGCAUACAUUUAUGGGCUAUGUUUGUCACGAUUAUGGUAUUUCAUUUUUGAAAAUCUUAUUGUUUAUUUCAAUAUGUUAGCUGGCCAUUUGUUUAGAGCAGAUUUAUAUAAAAUAAACCGUCAAUUUGGUGCAAUUUCAAAAAAAAGUAAGUCGAUUAAGUGCUAGGUGCGUUUUCUACACAACUGCCUGCCCACCAAGCGCGGUAUUAGGAGGAGAUGUAUCAGAAAUUUGUUUUGGAUUUCAGAAAGAAAAAGAAAUUUGAAGUACCUAAAAAUUCAAAAAUAUCAAAUACAUAUAGAUGUGUUCUACAUGUUUGUGAACACAUAUGAUGAAAUCCAUGUGAGCUAUAGGGAAAAACAAUUUAUGUGGAUUUUUAGAACAUGCACUACUUUAAUGGUUUUGUUGUUUUUGUAUACCUCAUAAGUUAAUGUAUUUCAUAAUGAAAUUUAUACAAAUGUGUAAUCAUGUUGAUUUUCUAAAGGAUACUUGAUAAUUCAAAAAAAAAUGGAACGGAGGCAAAAGAUUUGCCUUAUCCAUUAAUUAAGAAGUUAAGAGUUGCUUUUUUACGACCAAAAAGCAAUAGAAUUAUUACAAAGCCACUACUCGUGGCAUGAUGUUUCUCAAGUGCUUCGUGCCAGCGGUAAUUUAGAGUCGGACGGUAGUGUNNNNNNNNNNNNNNNNNNNNNNNNNNNNNNNNNNNNNNNNNNNNNNNNNNNNNNNNNNNNNNNNNNNNNNNNNNNNNNNNNNNNNNNNNNNNNNNNNNNNGUUAAUGUGGCAAACAUUUAUACAAAGAAAGAUGAAACCGCAUACAUAACAGCUUAAGUCAAGUAUCCAUGAAAAUAUGAUCUGGGCCAAARRAAAUCACAAGAUAUGUAGACAUCCAAAAUAUGACUGGGUAGAAAAGACUGAAAGUUGAUAUCAUACUGCAAAAGGUAGUGAAACAAAUUGAUACUCAUUCCUCAAUAACGAGGACUAAAUUCAUACACCAUCUUAGGAGACAUACUACGAGAGGAAAAACUAUCAACAUGGAAGCAUGGACAAUAAGCUAAAUGCCCCACUUCAACCACUACUCAGCAUUCCAUUAUUAAUGUUGAACCAUCCAAGAAUUAUUUGCUUGCUGAACAAAGUAAGGACGAAAAGAAUAAACAAGUACAUAUCAAGCACCUUUCAUAUUGAUGCCUCCAGCACAUUCAUUCUUAAAAGCAAGAAACAAUAGGGGAUGACCUUCUUGCAAUUUUACUAAGAAGGAAGGUAAAUGCGCGCAUCAAGAUUAUCAUGGUUGCUGCAGCAUGCGUAGGAUGNNNNNNNNNNNNNNNNNNNNNNNNNNNNNNNNNNNNNNNNNNNNNNNNNNNNNNNNNNNNNNNNNNNNNNNNNNNNNNNNNNNNNNNNNNNNNNNNNNNNUCGAUUAGUCCCACAUCGCUCGCGGAGCACGGCGGGGCAGGGUCGGACGAGUAUAAAUGGAGGGGCGGGGGCACGGUUGUAAGUCAUACCUUUCUCGGCCUUUUGGCUAAGAUCAAGUGUAGUAUCUGUUCUUAUCAGUUUAAUAUCUGAUAUGUGGGCCAUGCGCCCACAACGAUAUUAAAUUUAUUUUAUGGGGAGGAUCCACCACAGUGGCUUGCUGCUGGGCUCCUCACGCGUUCCCUGGACGUUGCACUGCUGUCCAGGUGUGGCGCACCCCAACCAAAUCUAAAUUAACUAUUUUGAUCGGGUUAAGUUGAGGUGGCUGAAGUAUUAAGGUUUUGAACACUGUUCUACCGGUUGAAUGCCCAUUGCAGCACUCAAGCUAAUGUUGUAUUUAAAAAUAGGCGAAGCUUUCUUGAAAAAGUAUGGAUUAUUGUUUUGUUUUGUGAACAUAGUACAAGUAAGGAAUAGAUGCAUUAUCGUAUUUAUAUUUCUGAAUAAGUGUCAUUUAUUGCCUCUGACUGUUUCAUGAAAAUUGGACGGGACUGAAAUAUUCUGCUGGGCACUGGACAGCUUAGCCAUUUGUGGGUGUGUGAUUUGUCUCACGAUUUUAUAGACCUCUUUCGAAUAUCUUUCUGCCCAUGCAGGCAUUGCCGCAAAAUCAUUAUCUUUGAUUUAUAAAAAUUUAGCAACGGAUAUUCAGGAUUUCAACAAUAAGUAGUUUCUUUUUCCAUUCGUUACUUAACCCCCUUCACGCACACUAUCGUGUAAGUGCGUUGUAUGCGACGACUCUCUCUACAUGUNNNNNNNNNNNNNNNNNNNNNNNNNNNNNNNNNNNNNNNNNNNNNNNNNNNNNNNNNNNNNNNNNNNNNNNNNNNNNNNNNNNNNNNNNNNNNNNNNNNNUAAAUUUUGAAUUACAAAUUGCUAAGAAAAAGGGAGCUUCAAAAUGGCCAUAAUCUAUGCUGAAAAUGAGAUUUGGAGGAGGGGCUCCACUGAGCCCUUUAUUUUUUCAAUUUUUUUUUGCUAUACCUCCAAAAAUUCUGAAAAUUAAUAUACACAUACACAUGUGUAGUGUGCACUUAUGAAUUGUCGUUGAUGUUUAUUUCAUUGUCAUAUGUAGCGGAUUAGAAUAUAUAAAUACAUAAAUCAAAAUGGGUCUCCUUUUGUUAUAUUUGGGUCAAAAUGAGUAGACUACAAAUCACAGUACUCCCUUCUUUCCGAUUAAUAGUUUCAUCUAAAAAAAUUAGUUUUUAUUAUACUAGGCUUAUUUUGAGUCUAAUUGAGUUAAACUGCUUUGAUUCGCACGUCAUAUUUAAUUCAUAGAGAUAAAAGAAAGAGAAUAUUUAAUUCAUAGAGAUAAAGARAAGGAUUAUUGGCUAUACAWUUUUUUCUACAUGCAUCAUGCAAGUUCAAUAAAAAGAAGAAUGCUACAUUUAUUGACUCAAAAUUUAAUAUAUGAGAAAUAUUUUAUUGACUAAUCAAAACUAGUGUCAUCCACUCACAAUUCAUCUUGAUUGAUGAGAUUUCAGAUUUAAAUCCUAUAAACCAAAAGAAGCAAAUAUUAUUUAAUACAAAAAGAUCUUAUGUGNNNNNNNNNNNNNNNNNNNNNNNNNNNNNNNNNNNNNNNNNNNNNNNNNNNNNNNNNNNNNNNNNNNNNNNNNNNNNNNNNNNNNNNNNNNNNNNNNNNNAGAUUGGAUUGGAUUUGUUUGCUGUAUUACAUACUAAAAUAUUCCCUGUUUAAUCUUCAUUUUGGGGGAAAAUAGAAGUAUGGCAUUUGGCCAGGUGAAAUGUUAUAAUUGGUUACACAACUGGAUGUCGCUGACAACCCAUUGCUCAAUUACAAAUCAUGGAUAGAUGGAAAAGGCUGACCUCCAGUACAUGAUGGAUGACGAAUUUGUUCUUGAAUCAUCAAACUUACCCAAAUGUAUUUUGCAGUUAGUCCUCUGAAUGUGCUUCUAAAUUGGUAGUUGAGAGUAAGGACCUAGUCUUCUACUAUCAUUAAAUAUAUUGGGGGGGGGGCGUAAAUCCAGGGUAUGGUGCUAGCCUCCUACUGUCCUUUUUCUUUUCUUUUUCCAGUAAUAUAAGUUUUUUUUGCAGUAUGCACCAUGAUAGAUUUAUUGUGAAGUUCCUUGGCAUUUGUUAAUGUUUGACAUCACAAACUUACACCAACGUAUUUCUGAAUUCUGAUUACGCCGUUUUAUGUCAUCAUAUGUGGAAUUUUAUGAGGACUUUGUCAUUGGUUAAAUGACAUAAGAUCCAAUAGCAUUUCUAUAGUCUAACUUUACAUGUUGCCGGUGCCAACUAGAAUGCACUCAUUGGAGCAUAAUCUGUCAAUUUGUUGGUGAUAUUUAAUGAAAAUCUGAACUUGGCUGACUUCGCUUGAUUUUUAAAUUUGCAGGUAACUGGANCGAAAAUUGGGAACCGUUUGAUGGCAGAGGCAGAAACAANNNNNNNNNNNNNNNNNNNNNNNNNNNNNNNNNNNNNNNNNNNNNNNNNNNNNNNNNNNNNNNNNNNNNNNNNNNNNNNNNNNNNNNNNNNNNNNNNNNNUGAUCUUCUUCAUGAUGUUUUUAUGUAUUGUACUGAUGUGACUUUGAUGUAGCUUGUGGCGAGUGUAAGCCAGUUCAAUAUAUCUUCUCUUUUCAGUACAUGUACUUGUAACGAUAUCCAUUCUUGCGAAACGACGAGAUGCGCUUCUAUCCCUGUCGAGGCCCUCGUGCCUAAAUAAGGAUAGGAUCGCAUCUUGGGCGUUACAAAUUCGCAUGAUUAAAAUCCUUAGGAGUUUUCCUUAAGAAAAUCCUUGGAUUUUUUCAAAAGAAAUCCUUAGAAAGACUUAUUUUUUAUGCUCUAUAUUUUGGAGAUGACUUCCAAACAUUUAAAGAAAUUGCACACAAAUUGUUUUUUGCUGGGAUGAAUAAAAUGGAUGCAAGCAGUGUGUCGUCUGUGUCUGAUGCUGCUGGAAGAAAAUCUACCGUGUGUUUGAAUAUUUUCAAAUAAGAGGUAGAAUGUCAUGACAUUUUCCACAUGGAUCUAACCUUUCCAAAAUUAAUCCAUCGACGCGCAUAAAACUGAAUCUGAAUCAUGCUAAAUCUAGGGUAUCACUUUAAUAAACUUUAACCUAUUCAUCUUCAUCAUGACAAUACAAUGAACAUAAAUAGNNNNNNNNNNNNNNNNNNNNNNNNNNNNNNNNNNNNNNNNNNNNNNNNNNNNNNNNNNNNNNNNNNNNNNNNNNNNNNNNNNNNNNNNNNNNNNNNNNNNCCCGUGUACCGAACCGUUGUGGAGGGCAGCGCACUCUAUAUAAGCCACCCUCCCCCACUGGUAAAGGGGUUAGCAACUUGUUGUAUUCCCUAUUCCACUCGACAAGAAGCUCCCUGAGCACUGAGACGUAAGGCUAUUACCUCCAUCGCAGAGGGGCCUGAACUCAUACAUCCUCGCCGUAGCUAGGACUCUGCCCAUCCUUUUCGUACCCUACACAUCUACUGUCAGGCUUAUACCCACGACAGUUGGCCCCCACCGUGGGGCAGGCGUCUAAGCGACUUCCGGCGAGUUUGCGACUACUUCCUUUCGUCAUGUCGUCCGGUGGAGGUUCGAGCAUGGGUCACCAGAUCUUCUUCGGUGCUCUCUCCUUCAUUGUCGACGAUUCGGCGUGGCUUCGGGAUGCUCCUCUCGACGUCGAGGCGCUUCCCCGUCGUGGGGCUACGCACUUCCGUGUCGGCGCCCGCGGCAUUCUUCUUCUCCAACAGUCGACUCCGAUGUCGACCUGCAGCGCCGUCACGCGCCGCAGCAAGCAGUCCCGCCGUCCGCGGCUCCAGCGUUGGGUGCAACACACCCCAGGCGCGCCAAAACGCGUCUUCACAAGUGGCGGUUCUAGAGUCCGUUGUGGUUGCCCCGCUGUCCCAGCACUCGGACNNNNNNNNNNNNNNNNNNNNNNNNNNNNNNNNNNNNNNNNNNNNNNNNNNNNNNNNNNNNNNNNNNNNNNNNNNNNNNNNNNNNNNNNNNNNNNNNNNNNGGAUCAUCACUUUCUCUAUAUCUAUAACCACACUAGACAUGUUAAAAAUAGAUUCAUAAGAGGCAAGAAAGACAAAUGAAACACAAAAUCCAAUGUAAAGAUGAUUAUCAAUUCCAAUCACAUGAUGGGAAUACCAAUUGUCAAGGACAAGAAGUAUUUUUGAAAUGAUACUCAUUAGUAGAUCACAAAUAUAUCCAAGAUCAUCUUUACCCAUAAAACGCAAGCAAAUGUCACUUGUAGAGCUAACAUGCCACCUAGGAACAAGAUAAUUUACAAUAUCAACACUAAGUGGCAACACCUCAAAUGUACACAUUUUCUAGGUUUGUAAUAUGCACAUAGCAUAUUACUCCCCCACAAUGUGAUAAACCAAUAACAUUGACAAGUGGCAAAUUAGAACCAACAAGAGAUACUUAAUGGACCAUAUAGAAUGUGAAUUUCUCAUGAGUAAGACAUACCACAUAGACACUAGAUAAUCUUGAAGCAUCAAAACUAAGUGGUAUUCCCCAUGUAUANNNNNNNNNNUAAUGUGAUAACCAACAAUAUUAACAAGUGGCAAAUUGAAACCAACAAGAGAUAAUUAAUGGACCAUAUGGAAUUUGAAUUUCUCAUGAGUAAGACAUACCACAUAGAAACUAGAUAAUCUUGAAAUAUCAAAACUAAGUGGUAUUCCCCAUGUAUACACAUUUAUAGGAUUGAGAGGUGUGCAAAGCACAUCACUCCCCCACAAUGGGAUAAUCCAUUAAUCUCUCACAAGAGCCAACAAAAAUACAGACAAGAUGCAAAUAGGCUCAAUACAAGACUCACAUGUACAUGAUGUGCAAAGCAACACAUACUUGAUUACUCAAGAUAAGCAAGUUGAAAGCACAACAUAUACAAACGCAUGCAAGGUACAAAACCACAACAUGCAAAAGGGGGCAAGCACCUAACAAUGUAAACAGUUUAAGUAUAAGUUACCGUANNNNNNNNNNCCAACAUACACAUACUUGAUUACUCAAGAUAAGCAAGUUGGAAGCACAACAUAUACAAACACAUGCAAGGUACAAAACCACAACAUGCAAAAGGGGGGCAAGCACCUAACAAUGUAAACAGUUUAAGUAUAAGUUACCGUAAGGAGGCACAUUAGAUAUAAGAUAGAAACUUGAUAAUCCAAAUGACUUGGCUUGAGAUAAUAUGAAUGAUGAAGACCCAUUAAUUCUUCAUUAUGUAUCCAAGUCUCUAAUGUCCUCCAUAGUCACCUAUUGAUCAAGUUUGAGCUUGUUGGUCCCCAACUACGUUGGGUCCUAAGAAGUUAAUCACAAUAGGCUUGGCAAACCAAAUGGUUCUUUUCUUGACACCAUUUUGAGUACCAACAAACUUGGCAAACACAUUGCCAACCUUAUCCUUCCCAAGGGAAUAGAUAUCAUCAAUAGUGAUUGGGUUGGAUAAGUUACCUCUUGUGCAAGACGAAGCAACGUGACCUUUCUCACGACAUAAGUAGCAACAUCUACCCUUUGCUUUCUUCCCAGUUGAUUUCUCACCUUGGGGAGUGUUGGUUUGGGUCUUAUUGGAAGAGGCCUUCCUUCAACUUGUAGUUGAAUAUGUGAUUGAGUCUGUGGCCGCUUCCCUUGUUGCUUGUGACUUUGAGACUUCGUCUUCAGANNNNNNNNNNGACGUGACCCUUCUCACGACAUAAGUAGCAACAUCUACCCUUUUCUUUCUUCGCAGUUGAUUUCUCACCUCGGGGAGUGUUGGUUUGGGUCUUAUUGGGAAGAGGCCUUGCUUCAACUUGUAGUUGAAUAUGUGAUUGAGUUUGUGGCCGCUUCCCUUGUUGCUUGUGACUUUGAGACUUCGUCUUCAGAGGGCAAGAUCUAACAUGGUGCCCUUUAACUUUGCACUUGAAGCAAAUGAUUUUGGCCGAAUUCUUGACUUGUUCUAGGCCCCUCUUGUUCUUGUUUGAGUUUACUCCAAACUCAUUUUUGUCAUUCGGAGAUGUUUGCUCACACAGGACAUUGUUGAGUGUGGGCAUCUCUUCAUGACACUGUUCCAAGUCUUUCUUCAAAGAAGUGACUUGGGCCUUGAGCUCUUUGAUUUCCUCUGCACGGUUAGUAUCAAUGAAAGUACUAGAGGAAGUGUGGGCUUCAAUGUUAGAGCAACAAGGCAAGGAAAGUAAUUCAUCACAUGAGGUAGCAACAUUAUGAGUAGACGAAUUACGAGGACUAGCACAUGGANNNNNNNNNNNNNNNNNNNNNNNNNNNNNNNNNNNNNNNNNNNNNNNNNNNNNNNNNNNNNNNNNNNNNNNNNNNNNNNNNNNNNNNNNNNNNNNNNNNNAAGAUCACGGGGAAUGCUCAAAACUUGCUCAAAUCACAAAUAGCUUGGGUUGAGAGAAGGAGAGGGAGAAUAUCUAUCUUUUGAUUGGAACAACUCUCAAAGGGGCUCACAAAUGCUCUUGGGAUCUAAGAUUUGGAGUGAGCAAAUGUGUGUGAGGUGGAAAUGUGUUCUUAUGAGGAUAAGGUUGUGUUAGGCAACCCUCUCACGAAGUGGGAGGGGGGUAUUUAUAGUGUGGAGAGAAAAAGAGCCGUUGGGGACACUUUAAGUCACACAGGGUCCGGACGUCCGACAGUUGUCGGAAGUCCGGGCGUCCGUGAGGGGCCGGACGUCCGACCGGGGUCGGACGUCCGAGACUUUUAGGCAUGACUGGAACUCUUCUAAAUUCAUCAGNNNNNNNNNNGGUUGUCGGAAGUUCGGGCGUCCGUGAGGGGCCGGACGUCCGACCGGGGUCAGACGUCCGAGACUUUUAGGCAUGACUGGAACUCUUCUAAAUUCAUCAGCGGCCGGACGUCCGACAGGGGUCGGUCGUCCGAGGCCUGUAGAUGUGCCUGAACAUAUUUGAAUUCAUCAGCAUACGGACGUCCGGAGUGGCCCGAAAGUCCGUGUUAUACAGCUCAACUUCUACUGGUGGUAGGUUCCGGAUUUCCGACGGGUGUUGGACGUCCGGCGCUCGGUCGUCCGGAGGGAGCCGGAUUUCCGAGAUAUAGAACUCAACUUCUACUGGNNNNNNNNNNGAAGUCCGUGUUAUACAGCUCAACUUCUACUGGUGGUAGGUUCUGGAUUUCCGACGGUUGUCGGACGUUCGGCGCUCGGUCGUCUGGAGGGAGCCGGAUUUCCGAGAUAUAGAACUCAACUUCUACUGGUGCANNNNNNNNNNGCCUCGGACGUCCGGAGGUAGCCGGAAGUCCGAGUUAUAUGGCUCUGAUUUCUGUGGUAUAGGAUUCCGGAUUUCCAAACGAGUCAGUUGUCCGGUCCUCGGACGUCCGGAGAAAGCCGGAUGUCUGAGGCACUGGUNNNNNNNNNNNNNNNUCGAACUAGUCAGUCGUCCGGUCCUCGGACGUCCGGAGAAAGCCGGAUGUCUGAGGCACUGGUUCUGUUUUCGGAUAACAACAAAACAGUGGAGAUGUGGUUUGAGCAGAAAGUGAUGAUGUAGUUUGAGCAAGUUCAUCGCAAAACCUGUGAUCCCCUCUUAAUAGUGCGGGAUCCCUAAGGACUCAAGAAUCAUAAAAGAGUACUGAUGAUCCAUGCUUGAGUGUAUACUUUUAUUCGCUGAUCAUCACUCCGCACAACUAACGUCAAAGGAACUGAUACCUUUGAGUUAGCCCUUUCACUUGAGCUUGAUGUUGUUGUUCCUUCUUGGCUCAAGUUGAAAGCAAGACAUGAUGAAGUCUUCAAGUAGCUUUCCCAUACACAAUGCGGAAAGCCUAGCNNNNNNNNNNNNNNNNNNNNNNNNNNNNNNNNNNNNNNNNNNNNNNNNNNNNNNNNNNNNNNNNNNNNNNNNNNNNNNNNNNNNNNNNNNNNNNNNNNNNCAUACAUACAUUGCAUAUUGCUUGUGCUCAUUAUAUUGUGUUGGCUAUUUCUUGUACAAGAUUAAUCAUUCAAGCAUACCCUCUAUAUCCACACGUACAUACUAUCAACCCUUGAUAUAUCGUUUGAUAUAGUGUGAUCUAAUAUCUUGUGUUAUUUACCUACUUGUCGUGUGAUAUAGCUCAAGUAAGUUUGUGUAACUUACUUNNNNNNNNNNUCAUACUUGCAGCCCUUGAUAUAUCGUGUGAUAUAGUGUGAUCUAGUAUCUUGUGUUGUUCACCUACUUGUCGUGUGAUAUAGCUCAAGUAAGUUUGUGUAACUUACUUGUGCUUGUUAGUAACUGCAUUGUGUCCAUCUUGGUAGAUCGUGUUGUUGAUACACGUUGCAGUGCCUAGUGCAUUUAGGAUUUGUGCUUGACAAGUACCCUCUUAGUUUAUUUUCGCAUUAGGUUCAAGCCAAAUCUGAAGAAGUUUUUAAAUAGCCUAUUCACCCCCCCUCUAGGCAUCAUCGAGGUCUUUUCAAUUGGUAUCAGAGCUAGGUCUCUCUUUAAUUAGGUUUCACGACCUUGAGAGUAUCGAUGUCGACUAUUGNNNNNNNNNNCGAAUAAGUUUUUAAAUAGCCUAUUCACCCCCCUCUAGGCGUCAUCGAGGUCUUUUCAAUUGGUAUCAUAGCUAGGUCUCUCUUUAAUUAGGUUUAUCGACCUAGAGAGUAUCGAUGUCGACUAUUGGAUUAGUGCACAAUGGCAUCUUUGACUUUGAUGGCACAAAUUAUACCCUAUGGAGAAUUCGUAUGCUUCAUCACUUUCGGGCCAUGGGCCCAAAUACUUUACGAAUUGUUCUUGUAGGGAUUGCCGACAAAAAGGAUGAUGCAUCUUCAUCUACUAAUGAAAUGUAUCUUGAUUGUGAGGCCUUUCUUGCCAUUCAUCGAACCAUACGUCGUGAAGUGUUCAAGUCUAUCUCGACUUGCAAGUCAGCUCAUGAAGUUUGGACUAAACUUNNNNNNNNNNAUUCUUGAAGGGAUUGCCGACAAAAAGGAUGAUGCAUCUUCAUCUACUAAUGAAAUGUAUCUUGAUUGCGAGGCUUUUCUUGCCAUUCAUCGAACCAUAAGUCCUGAAGUGUUUAAGUCUAUCUCGACUUGCAAGUCAGCUCAUGAAGUUUGGACUAAACUUNNNNNNNNNNNNNNNNNNNNNNNNNNNNNNNNNNNNNNNNNNNNNNNNNNNNNNNNNNNNNNNNNNNNNNNNNNNNNNNNNNNNNNNNNNNNNNNNNNNNGCACCAUCUCAUCUCCAAACCCUAGUUCAUCUCUUGUAACCAAUCUCCAUCUUGCGACUCCGAUUGGUACUUGUAAGGUUGCUAGUAGUGUUGAUUACUCUNNNNNNNNNNNNNNNNNNNNNNNNNNNNNNNNNNCUACUCAUUACACCUCUGAUCAUGAUUAUGAUUAUGCUUUGUGAGUAGUUACUUUUGUUCCUGGGGACAUGGGAUAAGUCAUGCUAAUAAUAGUCAUGUGAAUUUGGUAUUCGUUCGGUAUUUUGAUAUGUUGUAUGUUGUUUUUCCUCUAGUGGUGUUAUGUGAACGUCGACUACAUAACACUUCACCAUUAUUUGGGCCUAGAGGAAGGCAUUGGUAAGUAGUAAAUAGAUGAUGGGUUGCUAGAGUGACAGGAGCUUAAACCCUAGUUUAUGUGUUGCUUCGUAAGGGCCUGAUUUGGAUCCACUAGUUUAAUGCUAUGGUUAGACUUUGUCUUAAUUCUUCUUUCGUUGUUGCGGAUGCUUGCGAGAGGGGUUAAUCAUAAGUGGGAUGCUUGUCCAAGUAAGGGCAGUAUCCAAGCGCCGGUCCACCCACAUAUCAAACUAUCAAAGUAACGAACGUGAAUCAUAUGAACAUGAUGAAACUAGCAUGACAGAAAUCCCUGUGUGUCCUCAGGAGCGUUUUUCCUCCUGUAAGACUUUGUACAGGCUUGUCCCUUGCUACAAAAGGGAUUGGGGCACNNNNNNNNNNNNNNNNNNNNNNNNNNNNNNNNNNNNNNNNNNNNNNNNNNNNNNNNNNNNNNNNNNNNNNNNNNNNNNNNNNNNNNNNNNNNNNNNNNNNUUCACUUUGUGUUCAGACCACAUCUCCACUGCUCUGUUGUUAUCUAAAAACAAAACCAGUGCCUCGGACAUCCGGCCUCCUCCGGACGUCCGAGGACCGGANNNNNNNNNNAGACUUCCGGCUACCUCCGGGCGUCCGAGGCCCGGAUGUCCCGCCAAGUCCCGGAAAUCCGGAAGCCUGCACCAGUAGAAGUUGAGCUCUAUAUCUCGGAAAUCCGUCUCCCUCCGGACGUCCGAGCGCCGGACGUCCGACACCCGUCGGAAAUCCGGAACCUACCACCAGUAGAAAUUGUGUUGUAUAACACGGACUUCCGGGCCACUCCGGACGUCCGUAUGUUGAUGAAUUCAAAUAUGUUCACGCACAUCUACAGGCCUCGGACGACCGACCCCUGUCGGACGUCCGGCCGNNNNNNNNNNAUCCGACACCCGUCGGAAAUCCGGAACCUACCACCAGUAGAAAUUGUGCUGUAUAACACGGACUUCCAGGCCACUCCGGACGUCCGUAUGCUGAUGAAUUCAAAUAUGUUCACGCACAUCUACAUGCCUCGGACGACCGACCCCUGUCGGACGUCCGGCCGCUGAUGAAUUCAGAAGAGUUCCAGUCAUGCCUACAGGUCUCAGACGUCCGACCUCUGUCGGACGUCCGGUCCCUCGCGGACGCCCGGACUUCCGACAACUGUCGGACGUCCGGACCCUNNNNNNNNNNNNNNNNNNNNNNNNNNNNNNNNNNNNNNNNNNNNNNNNNNNNNNNNNNNNNNNNNNNNNNNNNNNNNNNNNNNNNNNNNNNNNNNNNNNNNNNNNNNNNNNNNNNNNNNNNNNNNNNNNNNNNUACCCCCUCCCACUUCGUGAGAGGGUUUCCCAACACAGCCUUAUCCUCAUAAGAACACACUUCCACCUCACACACAUUUGCUCACUCCAAAUCUUAGAUCCCAAGAGCAUUUGUGAGCCCCUUUGAGAGUUGUUCCAAUCGAUAGAUCUUCUCCCUCUCCUUCUCUCAACCCAAACUAUUUGUGAUUUGAUCAAGUUUUGAGCAUUCCCCGUGAUCUUAUUACUCUUGGAGGUUGGAGANNNNNNNNNNNNNNNNNNNNNNNNNNNNNNNNNNNNNNNNNNNNNNNNNNNNNNNNNNNNNNNNNNNNNNNNNNNNNNNNNNNNNNNNNNNNNNNNNNNNAGAUGUACCGAGAGGGAUAAGUGAUCCCAUGGUAUGGUAAGCAUUGUCAAUUACGUGUUUGUGUACUAACCCAUGGUCUUUGUGAGACUCCUAUGUGGGGGUUAGGUGUGUUUCCAUUNNNNNNNNNNGCGUAUAAGAUGUACCGAGAGGGAUAAGUGAUCCCAUGGUAUGGUAAGCAUUGUCCAUUACGUGUUUGUGUACUAAUCCAUGGUCUUUGUGAGACUCCUAUGUGGGGGUUAGGUGUGUUUCCAUUGGGCUUGCGUCAAAAGGAAAAUCUCAUACAACCCAUGAAGGAUGACGUCAAGUGGUGAUCGUCAUCAAGAUUGUGGUGUGCAAGUUCAAGUGGAUCAGCAUGAAUAUAUCAUUGAAACUAUUGUCAAUGAUCAUGUGCUAACAAGGGCAAGAUCAAGAUAAGCAUUCCUGAGCACUACAUGCUUGAUUCUUGUGGNNNNNNNNNNUACGAAUAUAUCACUGAAACUAUUGUCAAUGAUCAUGUGCUAACAAGGACAAGAUCAAGAUAAGCAUUUCUGAGCACUACAUGCUUGAUUCUUGUGGAUGUUCACAUGGUGGAUAGGACAAGAUCAAGAUAAGCAUUCUUGAGCACUACAUGCUUGAUUCUUGUGGAUGUUCACACAUGGUGGACAAAUGAAGAUAAAUACAUAAGCUAGGCUUUCCGCAUUGUGUAUGGGAAAGCUACUUGAANNNNNNNNNNUUUGUGGAUGUUCACACAUGGUGGACAAAUGAAGAUAAAUACAUAGGCUAGGCUUUCCGCAUUGUGUAUGGGAAAGCUACUUGAAGACUUCAUCNNNNNNNNNNNNNNNNNNNNNNNNNNNNNNNNNNNNNNNNNNNNNNNNNNNNNNNNNNNNNNNNNNNNNNNNNNNNNNNNNNNNNNNNNNNNNNNNNNNNCUAAAUAUAAGUCUUUUUAAAAAUUUCACUGAUAAACUACAUACAAAGCAAAAUGAAUGAAUAUAUACUUUAAAAUAUGUCUAUAUACAUCCGCAUGUAGUCUUUUGAUAAAACAUCUAAAAAAGACUGAUAUUUAGGAACCGAGGGAGCACAUAAAUUGCCGAGGCAUGUUGGCACCUACGGCAAAAGGACCGUAUAGAUAGGCGCAUAGGCUCCUGUCCAUCGGAUCUCAAAAUUUUUAAAAUAAAUAAACCGAAGUUUCACAAAAAGGAAAAUCAAAGUGUGAUCCUAUAAUUUGUUAUCAAGAUUUUUUUUGAUGCAACAAAUGGAAGACGUUUUAGGUCAGUUAAGUAGAUCCAUCGUGUAUCUGAACAAUACUCCCAACUUAUACUCCCUUCGUCUUAAAAUUCUUAUUUUAAAUUUGUCUAAAAAUGAAUGUAUCUAAAUACUAAAACAUGAUUAAAUACAUUCAUAUCUAGACAAAUCUAAAACAACUUUUUGAAACGAAUGAAGUAUAAGUUAUUUUUUUAAGUCAUUACUCCUAGAGGUUGUAGUAAGUACAACGCAUAUUAUCGAUGUUCCAAAUUACUUGUCUUGGGUUUGUCUAGAUACAUCUACGGAUGUAUCUAACAUUAACAUAUGUCUAAAUACAUCCAUAUGUGAACAAAUAUAAGACAAGUAAUUUGUGACUAAGGGAGUAUAUUAUAGAUCCACAUGUUUUAAACUGCCAAAACAGUUUAUAUUUUAAAAAGGCUGCGGAAGUGAUCCGAGCACAUUUAGUAAUAUUCGCCCUUAUCAUUCCUAUACAACAGAUCAAACAUUGAGCUGGCCUUGCAUUACCAAUGGCACAUACACCAAGGCAGUUAUAUAGCNNNNNNNNNNNNNNCAUAAGCUUUAGAGAUAUUGUACAGUACAUAAUAUUAAAGCAUCGGCAGACAUAAUGUAUAUAAACACGCUCACUCGAGUACCACACGACAAGAGUUUCACAUGGUUCAUCAAGUAGGAAAGGAGCAAUUAGUAAAUAUAACAACAUAGUAUCGGAAUAGAUCCAUUGUCACCGAACGAAUUUAUUCUUAAGACCGGACCACAAAUCAACAAACUUCUCAGAACAUCACCAUUACACCUGAUCUUCAUUCCUCAUCCGUGCGCACAGCUGCAACAUGAACAACCAAGUCAGUGUUCAAGAGAACAAUACAGCAUGAAGUAAAACCAAAGCAAGAAAGAGCCUCAUCUGAAUGCCCACCAGGAAGAAAGACAUUAAAUAUGCAAGUGCACAAAUCAUCACAGAAGCUGGGUAAGCAAAUUAUUCAGAACAGCGUAGAUGUUGGAUUCAACACUUCAUGCAAAUCACGCAAGAGAACAACCAUCACAGUCACUUAAGCAUUCCAAAACCCAACUACAUGUACUUCUGCAGUUCCUGACAGCGCCCCCGAGUUGCAAUUACAAUAUCGAUACUUAUAUGAAGCACAAAAUCAAUAUCGCUACAGAUCCCUACGAACCUAAUUCCGUUUCAAAGAAAAACUACAAACCUAAUUGCACCUAUCCAGCUGUUUUACUCAGUGUUCACAUGCAAUCAUGCAUGCGGCUGAAUAAACUCCCUCUGCUUUGGUACCAGCUCUGAGCAUACAAAUAGGGUAUGACAAAUCUUAAGAGGCAUUUUCAGAACUAUGUGGCAUGAAUGACGCUAAAAGUGAUAAACUACAUGUGCUAAUUAUU
This 60586-nucleotide long non-coding RNA is filed under the name Hordeum vulgare. RNAcentral's name for it is "long non-coding RNA (HVUL_LNC007733)". Lineage: Eukaryota; Viridiplantae; Streptophyta; Magnoliopsida; Poales; Poaceae. The record is from RNAcentral.